GGUGAACAAAUUGAGCAAGUUCUUGAGUUCUAAAGUGAGCCCAUAGCCAACAUAAUCAACCCAAGCGAGAAGCUAUAUGAAGAAGGUCCUCUCUCCACGAACCAAGCAAAAGCAGAUGGUUUCAAACAAGCCACAAUGCCACCAACAGUCACAUACAAAGGGUACAAGCUAGCAGCAGUGGAUAACAUGUUCUCCCAUCUGGGUUUUGCUUGAGUGACCAAUAAGAGUUCGGAAUUAUGACUGAGAGAACUGACUAUGAGACGGUAACUGAGUUUUGAUGGUGAAGAAACAAUGGGUUUUGAUGUGUGGGGUUUGAAGGUGAAUCUGAGAUGGGUCUGUUGUAGUUGUGAAAGGAAGAGACUGUGAGUUAAAGUGAAGGACAUGGUGAAGAAGCUGUGUCAAUUUUCUUUGACACAACAAUCAUCUCAGAAAAAGAAAAUAAUAAUAAUAAAACAAAAAAGUAUUUAAGACAAGAGAAUAUUAUUCUGCAACUGUAACACAACAAAAGCAAAAAACAGUAACACAAGAAGCGAAGCGAACUUACAAAAAAAAAAAAAGAACACAGACAAAAACAGUAACAUAUCCAAAUGACACAUAUCCUGGUUCCCUCCACGAACUCAAAUAAUAUCUGGGUACUGAAAAGAUUGCAUACCCAAGAAUUUGCAUGGUGUUUUCUACGUACUUUCCCCAUGAAAACACUAUGAUUCUAAAACCGCCCGCACGAGGAUUUAACCUUGAAAAGUAAAAGUCAACUAGGAAAAAUGAGAGUCUUUCUAAUAUUUUAAUACCCCACUUAUGAAACCAAAUGAAAAUUCAAAUCAAGCAGCUACUUUAAUCUACCAUAUCUAUGUAUUAAAUAUAUUAAAAACGCAUUAAUUUAAUUUUUAAUAUUUAUAUUUUAUGUCAAUUUAAUUAGUUUGUGUUAAAUUUUUUUUUUAAAAUUGAAUGGUUUUUAAUAGAAAUUAUAUUGACUAAAAUAUUAAUUUUUUUGAAUGAUAUUGGUGAUAUUAUUUAUGUGGUAGUCCACGUAUAUUUUAUGCUAACACGAGCAUGACACUAUUUGUUAUACAUGACAUGUCAACAAAAUCGAAAAAUUGUAAAAUAUAUAAAAAGUUAAUAAAAAUUUAAAAAAAAAUCAUGUUUAAAAGUAUAACGGUUUAGUAAGUAUUCCCGUUAAAACACUAAUUUUACUAUAUUUAAAAGGUUGAUGAUUAACUUCAACUCCUUUUGAAAAAUUAAAUUUAACUAAAUAAAAAUAAAAACCAAAUUUUAAAAAAUUGUAAAUAUUAAAAUCUAAAUUAACAUUAUCCCCGAAGUUAUAUAACUCACACGAGCCUGUAAGUACAAACAUCCUAGAUAAAAACAAACCCAAAGAAACAUGACAACCAAAGCAGAUUGAAAAAAAAAUACCAACAAGACUUUGGUGCAGCCAUAAACCCUAUGUUAAACCCUGAAUAUAUAGAGAAAACUAAAAAAACUGACUACAAAAACAACUUCAAGAAGCAUGUCCAAGGUCUAGCACACCAGUGGAAACAGAUUUGGGUUUCCAAACCCUAUCCUGUAGCUUGGUUUUUAAGUGAGCGGUGCCAAAGUCAAGUCCAAGCUAAGGCCUUGAUGAUGAUUAAUACUAAUAACGUUGCAGCAUGCUUCUCCAGCGGCAUGUUCACCGCUAGUGCCACUACCAUAGGCGGCCAUUGCACCACCUCCCUCUGCGAUACCAAACAAGUUGAUUUCAGUAGCUUCAGCUUCAGUUUCAGUUGCACUUCCACCAUUCCCGUGCUGGUUGCUGGCAGCAGCUGGUUGCUUCUCCACUUCAACCCUAAAGUGGGAAUUAGAAGAACCACCUUGAUGUUGCACUUUGUAAAUGGUGAUUCUAUCACCAAUUCUAAGUUCAUUAUGAACAACAAAUUUUCUCCAUCCAUGGGAGAAAACAGGUUUCUUGUACCCUUGUUUACGGACAGUACAGACAAUUGGCCAAACCCUUGUGUUGCACCUAAGAUGUAUUCUGACGGCAUGACUUCCAUUAAAACUUGGCAAGGAAGACAGGGUUUCUGUCGGAAUGGCCAACCUCUUCUUGAUAUCAGUAUCUGUGAGUUUCUUAGAGAAUAAAUUUAUGAUUUGAGAGGCCAUGCUGGAACUGGCUGCUGGUGGGUAUUAUAUGACUACAUGUUUUGAAAUCCGCCUUGGCAUUUAUACAGAGACAAGGUUUCCCUUCACGGAGGUUCCAGAUAUGGAAACUGCGUCACAUUGUCAAAAGGAAACCAUUUCUUUAUGAGGUUGGCCAAUAGUAUUCCAACACCAUGGCGUUGGACCAUAUUAGGAUUUUGAUGUGGACCUUUUCCAGUUCCCCAGCAGUCGCCUUUACUGAAAAAGGUAAAAAAACAAAAACCCCUAAUCAAGCCAAAUUUGCUUUAAAUAAAAGUCUUAGUACUAAAAUUAUUACUAUGCUCUUUAUACAUAAAACACCAAAAUAAGCUUCCACAUAGUAUACGAAAGGGUUAUUUUUCUCCUUCAUUCAACGCAUAAUCAUCAAUUUAUCUAUUUUUUUCAAUGAAAAAUAUAGUACAGUGAUUGAUGUGAUGCAUGUCUUCAGCACUGAUGAAUGAGCUGAGAAGAGGGCUAAUUGUUUGGUCAAAAAGAAAAGAACCUUUAGACAAUUUGUUGAACUCGUAAAUAGUAGCUAGUCAAAAUAUUUGUAUUUGUUUGAAGUUUGGGGAUUUUCAAUGUAAUUUGCUUCAAAUAUUCAACCAACAUACACGUGUGGGAAUAGAUGUUUGGAAUUGGAUUUACAUGCCUGCCACCCACAGAUUCAACAAUCAAAAUCCUACUAGUGAUUAAAUCGAUUAGGCUAUUAAGUUGUUAAAGCAUUCAGUUGAAUAAAAUAACAUUGAAUAUUUAUAAAAGAAAUUUAAAAACUUGAUUUAGUCGUUCGAGUUCAAUUUGUUUUCUCAAUUCAUUUGGCUUGUACUAGUUCUCGAGUCAAUCAGUUCAAUACCCAUCUCUAAACUUGUACUCCAACCAAUUUCCAGUCCAACCGGUACUACUAACAGGUUAAGUCCGAAUCAAACAAAACAUUGGUUUGGGAUGAUGUGGUUUAUUGGAUGGUUAUACCAAGUUAGGGCUGAGACUGUUAAUCAAUAUUUAAUCUGAUAGUUGAAUUUUUUUGUCUCAAUUCAGUAUUUGAAUUUGGCUUCAAUAUUCACUUUAACACUUGAUCUUCUUUUUCUUUUUUUUUCCUAUUUGACACUCAGAGGUUUUUAUUGUCCCAAUUUGGCACAUUGAGUACAGACAGUACAGACAAUUGGCCAAAUCCUUGUGUUGCACCUAAGAUGUAUUCUGACGGCAUGACUUCCAUUAAAACUUGGCAAGGAAGACAGGGUUUCUGUCGGAAUGGCCAACCUCUUCUUGAUAUCAGUAUCUGUGAGUUUCUUAGAGAAUAAAUUUAUGAUUUGAGAGGCCAUGCUGGAACUGGCUGCUGGUGGGUAUUAUAUGACUACAUGUUUUGAAAUCCGCCUUGGCAUUUAUACAGAGACAAGGUUUCCCAUCACGGAGGUUCCAGAUAUGGAAACUGCGUCACAUUGUCAAAAGGCAACCAUUUCUUUAUGAGGUUGGCCAAUAGUAUUCCAACACCAUGGCGUUGGACCAUAUUAGGAUUUAGAUGUUGACCUUUUCCAGUGCCCCAGCAGUCUCCUUUACUGAAAAAGGUCAAAAACAAAAACCCCUAAUCAAGCCAACGUGCAUUAUUCCAAAAAAAAAAAAAACCUAAACAAGACGACGUGCAUUAUUCCUCUGUUGCAAGCCGAUUUGUGGCAAACAAUUUGGAAGUUUUGACCGUUAGUCCCUUUGAAAUGCCAAAACCCCUUCUUCUUUUUUUUUGUAAAAGUACCAAAUCAAAAUCAUGGGGUGUGAUACACGUUGAUUUUUCGCAAUCAUUGCUUUCUAAAAGUAGACAUAAACAUAUAGCUUUCUUCCACAUGUUUUUUUGUUUUCUUCUGAAAGAAUGAAUCGUGUAUUAAGUACUCAUAUUUAACUGAAUAGAUAUGCUUAUAUUCAUCUUUGGUUUUGGCUUAAGCCGCCGUGAUGGUGGUAGGUGGUAGGUGGGAGGGUGCAAAUAUGUUACAAGUAAUCGCAACUUAUUCGUGGUUGAAUUGAAAAAAAAUCAAAUUUAAUUUAGUAAUUAUCGAGUUAAAUAUAAGUACUUAAUACACGAUUCGGUUGGUUCGUGACUCUAAUUGUGUUUGUCUAUUUUAGUAUAUUUCUAUAUUAUUAAUUUACACUUUUAUUCUUAUUAAUUGAGUUCAAGUUCAAAUUUAAAUUUUAAAAUUUGAUAAAUUAAUUUAAUCAAACUUUAAUUUAAAUAAUUUGAUUAUGUUAAAAAUCGAUAAAUUAACUUAAAAAUUAAUGUUUGAAUUGGACGAAAAUCAAACUCUAAAUUUUGAGUUGAACUUCAACUCAAACUUAUCACUACUCAAGUUCAACCCCGCUUGAAUUACUAAAUUUAAGAGUAAAUUUGCUUUAAAUAAAAAAAAUAGAACUAAAUUAAAUAAAAAUAUAAAAGUCAAGUACUAAAAUUAUGACUAUGCUCUUUAUACAUAAAACACCAAAAUAAGCUUCCACAGAAAAAAAAAAGUAUAGUACAGUGAUUGGUGUGAUGCAUGUAUUCAGCACUGACUGAGCUGAGAGGAGAGCUAAUUGAUUGGUCAAAAAGAAAAGAACCUUCAGACAAUUUGUUGAACUCGUAAAUACUAGCUAGCGAUAGUCAAAAUAUUUGUAUUUGUUUGAAGUUUGGGGAGUUUGAAUGUAAUUUGCUUCAAAUAUUCAACCAACAUACACGUGUGGGAAUUGAUGUUUGGAAUUGGAUUUACAUGCCUGCCACCCACAGAUUCAACAAUCAAAAUCCUACUAGUGAUUAAAUCGAUUAGGCUAUUAAGUUGUUAAAUCAUUCGGUUCAAUGAAAUAACAUUGAUAUUUAUAAAAGAAAUUUAAAAUUUUGAUUGAGUUGUCCGAGUUCAAUUUUUUUUCUCAAUUCAUUUGGCUUGUACUAGUUUUCGAGUCAAUCAAUUCAAUGCCCAUCUCCAAACUUGUACUCCAACUGAUUUCCAGUCCAACCGGUACUACUGACAGGUCUAGUCCGAAUCAAACAACAUUGGUUUGGGAUGAUAUGGUUUAUUGGAUGGUUGUACCAAGUUAGGGCUGAGACUGUUAAUCAAUAUUCAAUUUGAUACUUGAAUUUUUUGUCUCAAUUCAGUAUCUGAAUUUGGCUUCAAUAUUCACUUUAACACUUGAUCUUCUUCUUUUUUCCUAUUUGACACAUUGAGUUUGACUUAAACAUUCUAUUUGGCAUUUUAUUUUUUUCUUUAUCUCAAUUAAGUACAUAUAUUUUUUACUAGGCACGUGUGUCAUUCAUUGGAACAUAUGUUUUAGGGUACCAAAUUAAAUCUUAAAGCUAAACUUGAAUAUCAAAUUGACCUUAAAGCCAAACUUAAGUAUCAAAUAGUGCAUUAAAAUAAUUUUUAAAUAAAUCCCUCUAAAAAUUUUAAAGUAUAAUUUUUCUUCAUGUAUUGAAAGCCAUAUCAUGUGAAUAAGAAAGCCAUUUAGAUUGACAAGUGGCCAAUUACGUGAAUGUUUGAAAUUAAAAUUUGAGAUAAUAUAAUUUUUGGACCUUGAAUUAGGUAAUUAUGUUCAUUUUGGUAUUUAUGUCUUUUGUUCACUUUAGCAUUUGAAUUUGACAACUAGAUUCAUUUUAAUCAUUAAACUUGGAUUCUAUCAAGAUUUGAUAAUUUGAUUGAUGUUCUUGGAACAUGACUUAAUUGACAAGUGGCCAAUUACGUGAAUGUUGAAAUUAAAAUUUGAGAUAAUAUAAUUUUUGAACCUUGAAUUAGGUAAUUAUGUUCAUUUCGAUAUUUAUAUGUCUUUUGUUCACUUUAGUAUUUGAAUUUGACAACUAGAUUCAUUUUAAUCAUUGAACUUGGAUUCUAUCAAGAUUUGAUAAUUUGAUUGAUGUUCUUGGAACAUGACUUAAUUGGCAUGUCAAAACACUUGGACAAAGAACCAAUCGAUAUACUAGUCAAAACAAAAGGCUCAAAUCAAUUGAUUUGAAAACUACUCGAAACCGAUAAAAAAUAGUAUACAAACCAAUAAUUGAAUAGGUUUAACAAUUUUUUUUAUUUUUUAUGAUUUUUAAUUAUUUAUUGAUUAUUAUUGGUUUAACCAUUUAACUGAUAAAACCAAUUGGAUCCAGAUCCAGUAGUCUGAUCGAUUUAACCACUAGUCCGAUUAUUAAAAUAUUGUAUGCAACACUCUAAAAUUAUAUUUGUACCAAAUCACCACCUAAAAUUUUAUAUAAACUUUUUUAAUUUUCUAGUGAUGAUGUGGCAUAAUCAUAGAGUAAAAACACUUGAAAAUAUAAAUUAGUAAAAGGUAGCAAGUAGAAUUAUAUCCGCAUAAAUCGGUGAUAAUUUUAUUGUUAAGUAAAAACUAGUAAAGUAAAUAAAAAAGGUUAUGUAAUAAAAAACUAAAACAAAGAGAGUAACAAUUAAAACUUUUUGAAAAAUAAAUGGUGAUAAACUCUAACCAAAGGUAAAAUAUUUGUUUGAUUCAUAGACUCGACCAUCAACGAAGAUGCCCCUAUUGCAUGCAGGGGCCUCGCACUUGGAACACGGGUACCAAAUCUAGUGCAUCGGUUCGAAAAUUGAGGCGAUGAGGUGUUGCCUCGACACAAGUGUGCCGACGAAUAACGGUCCAAUCGUGCAUAAGGGUGUGCUAGUGGUAUUAGGGCACCUUAUCCUGAGCGCAAAGGCGUCAAGCUUAAGUCACUCAAAGACCAGGCUUCAAGGGCACUAGAGCUCGGAGUGGGAAUGCGCGAAUUUAGGCGUUGAGGCAUUGUGCUUGCUGCAGGGGCAUUAGUUGAGGUCCUUGAUUUCAAUGUUCAAUUUUUGUUGCUCGUUUCUUCUAUCGAUAAAUCUCUACCUCCGUAACUCACCAAAUGGUAAGCAUUGAAUAAGUAAUAUUUUACAAAAAUAUUAGCUGGCCCGUGUGGCUCACAUGGCCUCACACAUGCUCUUGUGGCCCAAAUACCCUAGACCGUAUGUCACACACGAUUUAGCACAUAGCCUGUGUCACACGACCAUAUGGUGUCAACAGUGCAGUCUUUUGACAUUUGCCGUUUGUUAUUUUUUCGAGUUUUCUUUACACACCUUACUGAUUUUUGAAACUAACACCACAUCAAGAAUUUCCAAACCUAAAACCAGGAUUUAAAAAACCAAUUUUAGUAACAAAACACUAAUUCCAGGUAACUAAUUCAGCAUUCGACCACUUACCGAACAGAAACGAUAGUUCUCAAAAACCUCUAAUUCGCCAAAAGUAAGUCAUGCAAUUCACAAACCUUAUUAGGAAGUAAAGAAGAGUCUGUUAGUUGUUAGUUGUUGACGGUUAGUUAGGUAAGGGUAGUUACAACUAUAUUUAACUUGCAGUGUAUAUACACAUACUUUGCAUGAUAAAGAUAUAUGGAGAAUUGUGAGAUCAGUUUCUUUUCAGUAUUUCUAUUAUGUUAACAUGGUAUCAAGAGCCGGUUGUUUCUUGCUGAGCUUAUUGUGAAGAGAAAAAAUAAAGAGAGGUACGCUUUGUCCCUUAUGGCUACUAAUGCAGCCGUUGAUACACCCCGUCACUCGUCCAACACCAGAGAGGUUGAACACUCACAAGGUAAUGGUGUUCAUGGUACAACUGCAGUGCACUACUUCUCCAAGCAUGAUACAAUAAAGCUUACGUCGCACAACUUCCUCUUGUGGAAACAUCAACUCCUGUUGAUUCUUGAAGGGUAUGGGCUUGAAGGGUUUGUGCUAGGUACUACUCCCUCUCCUCCCCAGUUUAUUGAUGGUCCUGAUGGACAGUAAAUUGAAAAUCAAGAAUUCAUCGUUCAUCAAAAGCAAGAUAAGUUCCUCACUUCCUGGCUUUUGUCUACUAUUACGGAUGAUAUUUUGGCUCAUCUUACAACUGCUAAAACUAGUUUUGAUUUGUGGACUGCAAUUGAAAGAAAGUUUAGUGCCAAAUCGAACAUAAAAAUCUUAAGCAUGCGUCAUUCUUUAUACUCUCUCAAGAAAUCCAAUCUUUCUGUUAAAGAGUAUAUGUCAAAAGUCAAGCAACUCAGUGAUGAUUUGACUGCUGCUGGUAGCUUUAUAUCUGAACAGGAACAAGUGAGUGUUAUCUUAGCUGGACUUUCUAUCGAAUUUGACUCUAUUAGGGUUCUAGCUACUGCAACUCCAUUAUCUCUUGACUAGUUGAGCGAAUUGUUAAUUGACUGUGAAUCACGUCAGUGAGAGUCGUUAACAGAAACCCCAUGUAAAACAAACCUAGCAACUCAUCAACGAAACAAUGAUGAUACAGGUAAACGAUCUGCAGACUCUACUAGGUAUUCUCAAGACUCUAAGCAAAAUGAUAAAGGACAAGGUCGUGAUUGGUCUCGAGGUCGUUUUCGUGGAAAUGGACGAGGAUGGUCUCGUACGAGGCCACAAUGCCAGUUGUGUGGGAAGAUAGGUCACAUGGUCCAAACGUGUUACCACAGAUUUGAUGAAUCAUUUUCUGGUAGUGCAGGGAUGACACGGUACAAGUUAAUUGUCAUCAGUUGCAUGAUUCUAGUUGUGUGUCUUCUGCUCCUACCUGUCAAGUGGUGUCUCACUGCUGUAACUCAAGUCCUCAGGCUUCCUCCGGUUCUUUUCUCCCUCGGUCUCACCCGUCUUUACAAGAUGAUUCUAUAUGUUAUCCCAACUCUGGAGCGACAAACCAUAUAACACCGAAUGUGUCCAAUCUUGCGGCUCCCUCUUCUUAUACAGGUAAGAGUUGUGUCACUAUGAGUAAUGGUGAUUCGGUGCCUAUUGCUCAUAUCGGCUCAACCACUUUCUCAACUGGGGCCCGACUUGUAAAGCUUCAGAAUGUGCUGCAUGUUCCUGCAGUAUGCAAGAAUUUGAUGUCUGUGGGUCAGUUUGCUAAAGAUAACAAUGUUUAUUUUAAAUUUUACCCAGUUCUAUGUUUUGUGAAGGACAUACAGACAGGGAAGACACUGCUCGAGGGCUGCAUGCAUGAUGGCCUCUACAGGUUUCAGUUCACAACGCCUUCUCCAACGGCAGUUGCUAGAGUUCCAGAGUCAAAUUUCACUGUAUUGAACACUGCUAACACUGCUCAGUUUUCACCUUCUUCCUUGUGGCAUGACAGACUAGGUCACCCAUGCACUGAAGUUCUUACUCGAGUUUUGAAAACUUGUAAUAUUCCUGUUAAACAAAAUUGUGUACAACAAGUGUGUACAACUUGCCAACUCGGUAAAGCUCAUAAACUUCCAUUUACAGCAUCUAAAAAACUGUAUUUCUCUCCUUUUGAACUCAUAGUUUCUGAUGUAUGGGGUCCUGCAUGGUUACCUUCAAAUGGAUUCCCUUACUAUGUUUCGUUUGUGGACAUGUAUAGCAGAUAUACUUGGGUGUAUUUUCUUCAAAACAAAUCUGAAGUGGCUUGGUGUUUUCGGGAUUUUUAUCAGCUGGUCAAAGUGUAAUUUGGUAGCUCCAUUAAAAUGCUACAAACCGAUUGUGGUGGUGAGUAUCGAGUUUUAGCUCAUGAGUUGUCCUCCCUUGGUGUCCAACACAGGAUCUCAUGCCUUUAUACUUCAGAACAAAACGGGGCUGCUGAAAGAAAACACCGGCAGCUUGUUGACAUGGGCUUGUCUCUCUUAGCUCAUGCAAGUCUACCUUUGAAGUUCUGGGUCUAUGCUAUUAUGCAUGUUGUUCACUUAACUAAUAGACUACCCACUCCGGUCCUAGGACAGUCUAGUCCCUAUGAGGUCCUCCACAAAGUAAAACCGAGUUAUGAGCUUCAAAGAGUAUUUGGAUGUGCAUGCUUCCUAAAUCUUAGGCCAUUUCAGCACCACAAGCUGAGUUUUCGAUCUCAACAGUGUGUAUUCCUUGGCAGUGCUCCUAAUACCAAAGGCUAUCGGUGUCUCGCAGAGUAUGGCAGCAUGUUUUUAUCCCGGCAUGUCAUUUUUGAUGAAAAAAUUUUUCCUUCAAAGAUGGGUUCCAAACUACGGUCGUAUCUCAAGGAUCACACACGGUGCCUCAUCGGUCUGUUCUUCCAGUAGUUUCGACUGGUAGUUCGCAUGUCCCUGCUAUAGCACGAGCAUCUACUAGCCCAUCUACCAUAGGUACCUCUCCUAUCUUAGGUAUCUCUCCUGGGCAGUCAACACAAUCAUGUAGUAUCUCCUGUUUCUACUAGUGGGCAGUCGUCUCAUGAGCAAUCCUUAUCUUGAGUUUCUCCUAGUCCAUUAGCAGCAGGCCUUGGAACUAUUGAUCUACCUGAUCGUCCUGGUUUCUCUCAGUCACCACCCACUCAAGUCAAUCAUCAUUCUAUGCAGACACGUUCUAAAAGUGGGUUUUUCGACCCAAAGUGCUUGCAUCAGCUUGGAUGAAGUUGAACCUACUACCAUUCAUGAAGCUUUUCAGAGUACAGCCUGGACUACAACAGCCAAGGAAGAAUACAAUGCCUUGAUUUCCAAUCACACCUGGGAUCUAGUUGGUUUACUAGAGGGUCGACAGGCAGUUGGCUGUAAAUGGCUCUUCCGUAUUAAGAGGCAUGUUGACGAUUCCAUUGCUAGAUACAAGGGCAAACUCAUGGUCAAAGGGUAGCUACAGGAAGCAGGCAUUGACUUUCAUGAAACUUUCAGUCCCGUUGUAAAACCUACCACGAUUAGAGUCGUCCUUGCUCUGGCCAUUUCUCACCAGUGGUCUCUUCAACAAGUUGACAUAAACAAUGCCUUUCUAAAUGGGGACUUGAGUGAGGAAAUCUAUAUGUCCCAGCCACCAGGUUUCGAAUAGUAUGGCUUACAUGGAGAGCCCCUUGUAUGCAAGCUAAAGAAGGCUCUCUAUGGUCUUAAACAGGCUCCACGAGCUUGGUUUCAAAAACUAAGGGACUUUUUGGUAGUCAUGGGGUUCAACGCUUCCAAAGCUGAUAGCUCACUCUUCAUCCGACAACAAGAGGAUACAUUGAUGUACGUUUUAGUGUAUGUUGAUGACAUUAUCGUUACAGGUAGUGACUCACAGGAAAUUGAUCGGUUUGUCAAGACACUCGAUGCUAAGUUUGCAUUGAAGGAUCUUGGACAGUUGAGCUACUUCCUUGGUAUUGAAGUCCAGUACACAUUAAAUGGGAUAGUUCCUUCUUAAGCCAAAUACAUCAGAGACUUACUUUACAAAGCAUCUAUGGACAGAUCAAACGCUAUCCCAACACCGAUGGUCACCACUAAUCGCCUAUCUGCUGAUGAAGGCAGCCCCCUUAAAGAUGAACAUCAAUAUCGAAGUAUAGUAGGUGCCUUAUAAUAUGUCGUGAUCACCAGGUCUGACAUUGCCUAUUCCGUAAACAAGGUGUGUCAAUACAUGCAUAAGCCACUAACUGUUCACUUCAAAGUAGUCAAGAGGAUAUUGCGUUAUUUACAAUGCACACUGAGCUACGGAUUACAAUUUACUCGAGCUUCAAAAUUCUCCCUUGAAGGUUAUUCUGAUGCUAGUUAGGGGUCGGACAUUGACGAUCGCAGAUCCACCUCUGGGUAUUGUAUCUUUCUUGGAGGCAAUCCGUUCUCUUGGAGUUCGAAAAAACAACAUGUGGUAUCUCGUUCCACAGCAGAGGCGGAGUACAGGAGUGUUGCACAUGUGACCGCUGAAAUAACGUGGAUUCAAUCCUUGUUAACUGAAUUGUGUGUUCCAAACUUACCAAAGGCGCUGAUUUGGUGUGAUAGCUCAGCUGCGAUAGCAGUCGUAAGAAAUCUAGUCAUGCACUCCAAAUUUAAGCAUGUGGAGUUGGACAUUUUCUUUGUCAGAGAGAAGGUGGCCGCUGGAGUUAUUCAAGUUGGUCAUGUCCCAAGCACUCAUCAGCUAGCAGACAUACUAACAAAGCCUCUGUCAGCUUCAGGGUUUAAUCGAUUUCGGGAUUUACUUCGAGUUGUUAACGUGAACUAGGAGGUGUUAGCAAGGGAACAGAUAAGUAUGGGGUAUAUUAGGAAGUAAAGAAGAGUCUGUUAGUUGUUAGUUGUUGAUGGUUAGUUAGGUAAGGGUAAUUACAACUAUAUUUGAUUUGCAGUGUAUAUAUACGUACUUUGCAUGAGAAAGAUAUAUGGAGAAUUGUGAGAUUAGUUUCUUUUCAGUAUUUCUGUUAUGUUAACAAACCUUGCCUGACAGAUUCCCACACCAAAGAGAGUCAUCAAAACGCAAGUACCACUGACUAAAAAUUUCUCAAAUCAAAUACCCAAGAACCACCUUCCUGAAAUAAACAACCACCACACUUACCCAAAGAAGUAACUGAGAUUCGAUAACGUACGAAUGGAAUAACACAAGAGGCAAUCGUAUGGCAAAACGAGAAAGAAAAACAACAAAACUUCUAAAGCAUAAAGAAUGAAAAAUUCAGAAAGAGAGCAUGAAAAAGAGGAGAGAAAAAAAUAAAUAAUUAAAAUGAAUAGUGUAGCAAGAAGUGUACGGCAGAAUGUGGAGGACUUUGGGGAAAAAAGUUUAGAAUUUCAAAAAUAAAAAUUCUUAAAAACUAACUACUUCCCCACUAAUCUCAAUAUCAUAUACCUUAUCCUUAUUAGAUUUUUCCCAGAAUUUAAAAUAAUUUUUUUUUAAUUUGCACACAUGAGGAUUCAAAUACAAAACCUAAAGCUAAGCUGAAGCUUUAUCACUGAACCGACAUACUCACUCUUGUCAUUAGCUGAACAAAAAUAACAUAAAACUUUAAUAUCAAAGGCAAAAGGUUGGACAAAAAUUAACAAAAAUGCAAGAGAAAGAGUUUAAACCCAAAACCUGCCACACAAAAGCACAACAUUUAACCAUUAAACCAGAUAAACUCAUUUUGCAUAAUCUUUACAAUUUUAAGUUAAAAUCAAAACAUAACCACUCUUAAUUUCAUUAAUUCAAUUUCUUCCAACCCGAUUUCCACACACAUAAACUCGUAAUAUACUUUAAACACCUAAUGAUGUUCGAUCAUAGAGAUGUAGACUUAAAUCAACAUGUGGCACAUAUUAAGCUGAGGGAUUAGAGUAAAAUUUUAAUUUUCUAAAGGGUGAAAGUAAAAAAAUUAUCUAAAAAUUUGAAAAUUAUGCUAUUUCUCACAACUUCCGGCAUUAAAAAUGAGCUAUGUAUUUUAUUACAUACAUAUAAGCAAAACAUAUCUAUUUGAAUAUUAAGACUCUGAUUCUCUUCUUAAGUAGUUAAUUACUAAAAAAAAUAAAAAAGACGUUCACUUCCUAAUUGUUUGUUGGGUAUGUUUAAUGUAUUAGGUUAAUUAAGCAGGUGAUGAUCACGUUUUGAAUUGAGUUUUAAUUUAAUUGAUAUUGUUAUUAUUGUAAUAAUAAGAAAAAUAUAGAUUUGAGUGUACUUAAGUGUGUUCUUUCCUUCAAUUUAAAAGUGGGGAAAGUUAUGACUAGAAUCAGGCCAAUGUCGACAAUGUUUGCAUAGGAGUUAAAUUUUUUGAGCCCCCAUUCAAAUACAACUUAUUUGGUAAAAUAAUUUUAAUAUUAAAUUUGAACUAAAUAAUAUUCUAAAAAAUAAAAUUACAAUAAGGAUGAAGUAAGAAAUUAUUGGAAUGUUAAUGAUGUGAGGAUGAGUCCUCUUUCAAGGUGUUGGAAUAUGUUGCUUUCAAUUAGUAUAGCUGUUAAAAUCCUACUAGUGAUUAAAUCGAUUAGGCCAGGAAAAAUAAUUAUUUUUAAUAUGGAAUAUGUUCUUGGUUAUUUUAAUGGACGAUUCUUUCGAAGUUUCGAAAGUGGGUUUGGUAAAGCAAUGAAGUUUAGUUUAUUUUAUUUGGAAGGAUGGGAACGGAGAGAAUGGGGUGUUGAGGUCUUAGAAGAAAAAAAAUUUUAAGCAAAUAAAGGUGAGAUCCUUUAAUUGAUGAGCCAAGAAUUGCUCGACUGGGGAUUAAGAAUAAAAGGAGGGUUUGGAAGUGAAGGAACUUGGCAAAAAAGAAGAAGAAAAAAACUGGGUUUACGAGUGAUUGAUAAUGAUGAAGAAGUGAUAAAGGAGCUGGCGCAAAUUAGAGGGAGAAGACUUAAUAUAGAUUGUUAAGGUACUCUUCUUCUUCUUCUUUUUUCUAUUUUGCUUGGUUAUUGUCUUAACUUUUAAUUGCAAUUGCUUCUCAAUGGAAAAUCUUUUUGAAUUAUGAGAGGAGAACAACGUGGGUUAAUGUAACUCGAAUCCAUAUCACAUCUAGAUGGGAAAAUAUCCUCAUUAUUAAGUCAACAUAUAGGUUCAUAGGACAACGGGAUUAAUGCAACUCAAACCCAUAUCACAUCUGGAUGGGACCUCAUUAUUAGGCCAACAUACAGAUUCAAUGGAUUUUCUUUUUAAAGUUAUUGAGGUGAGUUGUGUUGUUAUAUUAAUGUUUUGAUUUUCUAGUUGUUGCAAGAGGGUUGUGUUUUGUAAUGGUAUCCUUACAAGGGUUCUAAAGGUUGUUUGGCUUUUGUUAUUGUAUUGUUGGUUAGUGUCAUCGUUGUUUUCUAGUGCUUCUAAGUGAAUGAAUUUAUGAUGAUUGCCUUCGUUCAUAAAAUACUUUUAAAAAAAAGGAAAAUAAAAGAAAAGGGUUAUCAUGGUAAGAUAGUCUUCGUAUUUAAGAUGCAUACAUCCAAAACGUAUAGGGUGCAUCUAAAGUAAUCAGAGUCAUCAUGAUCAGAUAUUCUUUGUAUUUAAAAUAUUCAUAGUGAGAGUCACUUUACCUAUUUUUAUAUUUAAGAUAACAGAUAAGAACUAUGGUUUAAAUUUGCGUUAAAUAAAUAUUUGACAAAUUAAAAACUAUAAAUAUCAUUUUAUUUAAAUCAAAACAUUCAAAUAUUUGAACCCCAUGUGAUGACCUGGUGAUCUAGGGUGUUCAUUAUCUUAGGUGUGACCUGAAUUUAAGUUGCGCUAGUCGCGCUAAUUGUUCAGACUUUACCUUAUUACUAUAAUUCACCCAAAAAAAAUCACUCACACACUUCAUUUAUUUCUUAAUAUCUCAAUAAAUUAAUUACACAAUCACAAAAUUUGCAAUACAAGAUAUCACAUACAGUAAUAUUUAAUUCUCUUUUUUCAUAGUUUAAUUGCUUAGUCAUGAACUUAAACUUGAUUAUGCAUGCAUAUUGGAAUAACAUGACUUUUUUUCACAAAAUGAAUAUUAUAUUUGAAUCCCCAACAAACCAUAUAUACAACGAUGUUUCAUAUAAUUUUAAAAAUAUAUAGGGUUAAAUCAAUAUUUAGAGUUUCAAUUUAGUAUCUUUUUCUCACAAUAUUGAAAUUUGAAUUCCUUUUAUUUAAUAUUUAUUCUCGGAUUUAAAUUUUUAUUUUGUUAAAAUUAAACUAAAUUUAAUAAUUAUUCCUAUUUUAAGAAAUUUUCAAUGGCUAACUUUUUCUUUUCACACAUAUUUUAUAGUAAUAAAAAAAUGAUGAUGAUGACACCACUAAUGUCCACCAUCGACAAAGAAAAGAAAAAUAGCAAAUCAAUGGCUUACUUCUUUUCCACCUUGAUUAGAAAAUAUAUGGAAGCUUCACCUUUUCCACAAGCAAUAUUUUUGGAACGAUAAAAUUUAUUAAAAUUUUAAAAAUAUUAAAAAAUAUUUUAAUCGAUUUGUAUCAAUUUUUUAUUUAAUUAAAUUAACAUUAUUGUUUGAACUAAUAUUCCAGUGAAUCCACACAACAAUAUUACUUAAUUCAUACAAGUAGGCAACCCAUCCAAGAACUAAGAAUAAAAUUAUGAUUAUGGCCAGAGUUUAUAGCAGUGGUAUCUUAUAUAUGCUCUUCUGCAUAAGCUGCUUUUAGGUGUGUAUUUCUGAAUACAAUAAACGUAUUCAAUUAGAUCCCUUGAAUUUAGUUUUUCAUCGAAACCCUAGACGAGUCAUUAAACCUAACAUGGCAAACACCAAGUACUAACAUAUUCGUAAGAACUUCAAAAAAAUUAUUAUACAAAAUAGAUACGAUAAAAACCCAACCAAGCAUAAAAAAAAUCAAACACCUGAAAACAGUCCAAAACACCUAUAAAACAACCUUCACCAAGACCUAACAGAGAGACCCCUAUACCAUUGGACUAAGAACCUGUGCCAGCAUGCAUAAAACUCGGCGUCGAAUUUGCAGCAACUUGGACGUUGUAAGACCACCCUUCCAUCCGAAAAGAGCACUUGAAUAAAGAGACUCCUACAAAUUAAAAGAUAAUUCCAUUGAAACAACUCACUCGAAACCUUACCAACCAACAGACCUCGUCAGCCCAAAUAGCAAACUGCACCACCUAUCAACAAACCUCCCGAUUAAACGUAAAAUCCAAUCAAAGCAAGCUUCGAUGGCCUGACCAAAAUAAACAAAGAACGCCCCAAGCUCCAACCCAUGAAACAAUGGCAUGCCCAUUAAAUCUGGACUCCAUCAACUUCUGACUCAUCCAUCUGCCAAGUCAAUUCCCCUUCUUCAGCUCAAUCAUCCAUAGCCAAAUCAAAUUGCUUCCUCAUAAUCCAAGUCAUAGUUACUUCUUCAACUCCCCUCAAUAUCACGCAAAUCUACUUCUGAAUCACAAAUAGAUUGAAUUUUCAUCAAAUGGCUAAUAAUUUCUCCCCCCUGGCCCUACUUGCUUCCUUAAGUUCCAAGUAGCAAUUACUUCUUCUAAAGGUUCAAAAUCAACACUCCUUGAUAAUUAAGUUGUUUCUAUUUCUAUUUCUAUAAUCAAUGGAGCAAUUCACUAUCUUGUCAUCCCUGUUUCCUUUUUGAUGACUUCCUUCCCCUCUUAUUCUUCGCUUUUUUUGUAAUUCUUUUGCUUCCCUUUAUCAUCAAGAGCUCGAAACAUUACCAUUGGAUCGAUUUCUGCUACUCGCACCUCUAAACAUGUAUCACCAACUUGCAAAUUGAUAAUUUCAUCAAUUCUUUGCAACUGUUCCAUAAUAAUUUUAGUACUUCCUGUAAAUAAUGAGAUCCCAUUUUCAGUAUCGUUGUCUACUCUAAGGAACUUCCCCCAGUGGCACGCAUUGCUUUGGAAGGUCCCUUUACUCCCAAUUUGAGUCUUCGAAAGAUUGAAACAAGUCAUUGUCCUUGAACAAAAUCAAGAUCAAACGUCCAGAAAGCUUAAAAAUAUUCACCCCAUCAAUUCCCUCUGACAGAAGUUUUCUUUAAAGAAUACGAGGACGACCCAUCUUCAAUCCAAGCAAUAGCACAGUGUUCCAGCCAACUAAGUUUAUUCGUAUCAACCACACCUUGCACAACAACCCGUUUUAAUGGUAUCAUGCUCCAUAACUCUUAUUUCUUCAGAAGCAGAUGUCGGCUCACCUUCUCAUCAGGCCUAGCCUCGAUAUGAGUUUAAUUUUUGUUCUACACACCCUUCUCCAAAAGGUGUUCCUAACUCGAAACCUUGCCCUAUUAAUUUCAACCCGAAAUCCAUAGAUUCUAAAACUGUUUAAUCUCUCUAUCGCCCUUUCUGCAUCAGUCACGCAUUCAGUGCAGUCUUUGCGGCAAGUUGUUAACAAAGAUCGUCGGACACUUGAGAUUCCCCUCCACCGGCGAAUGGUUAUUCGAAAAUUUUCGUUUAAGUAGUAUUAUGCUAUUUUAAAUAUUCUUAUGCUUAACUUUUUUGUCCAUUUUACAAUCUAUAUUUAAGGUUUGUUAUUACAUUAUUUCACUGUGUAUUAAUGAAAAUUUUUCACACUUAUUUCUUUUCUCAUUCAAAAUUAUUAUUAUUAUUAGAAGUCACUUAUAGUUAAAUUAAUCUUUCUGUUAAAAUUUCAUCAAUUUCUAUUAUUAAAAAUUUAUUUUUAUAUGUCAAAAUGAGGUACACCGGACAUACCAUGUGCCACUGUUUAAUAUUUGUUAGCUAUGAUAGUUUUAAUAAUAGAAAUGGAUGAAUUUUUUAAGAAACAAGAUCAAUUUACUCUUUAAUCUAAUAUAUUGGAACUAAUUUACUUGUUUUUAAAUAAAGUGAUCAAAUAUAAUCGAAUUUGUAGGACGAAGAUAUCUAUAAUAAUUUUACAAGAAACUGAGUGAAAGGUACAAGAAGCAAAAGCCAACACCUAAAAUCACCCAGAACUUAACAAUAAUCAUCUAAGAACAACUCCAAAAGACACCAAGAAACAGCAAUAAAUACAACUCUAACACCAGCAACCAAUUCCACACCACAAGAAUAAAAAACCUAACAACCCCAUAUUAUCAGUCUCCACACAACCAGAAAAUAACAAACACCCUUAGUAAUAAGCAAACCCAAUCACACAAUCACCAAAGCAAAAGUAUAAGCUAGAAAAGUUUAUUAUACCUAUGUAUUUUCUGCUAUAUAGGUGGGGAGGGGUGAAAGUAUAAAGGUGGGUGCUUGAGGAUUUGGAGAAAGGGAGAGUAAAAACUAGAAGAAAAUUUGGUUACCUAUGUACGAAAAUCAUUUGAUACAUAGAGUUUUUUACACUUUACAAGCGGAUUAAUACGCAGAUAUAUUAAAUAAUUACCCAUAUACAGCAAAAUAUGUAGGCAGCUGAAGAAAUUAUAAAGAACUGAGAGAUUAAAGAUGAAACAUUAAACAUAGAAGACACAGAUACUUAGUUCCAUAUUAUAUUGUUGAAAAGGUCGACGAACUGGCAGUGAAGGAUGCGUUUAUGGAUAAGGAGAUGAAGAAGCUUUUCCUCUCUAUAUCUAAUUAAAACACCAUAUAGCUAGCAAACCAAUCAUCCCAGAAAAAUAUUUAAAGAAAAAACAGUUAAGUCGUCACUACAUAUUAUUGUGCAAUUAAAAUAUAAUAUAUAAGGUAUGUUAAGCUGAAACAUAUUAUGUAAUCGAGGAAUAAUGUGACAGAACCUAGUCCAGGCUAACUUCACUAGCCUGCAUAUGGAUUGGGUUGUGACAGAACCAAGUCCAAGCUAACACUUUGAUGAUGAGUAAUCAUGUUGCAACAUGCUUCUCCAGCUGCAUCACUAGGCCCACUGCCAUAGGCUAUUGCAUCACCACCCUCGGCGAUACCAAAGAAGUCGGUUUCUCUUUCUGGUUUGGCCAUACAGGGCGAGAGGAGUGAGGGUUCACCCGUGUCAGUACCCUUGGUAAUGCCCAAGCACUUCAUUUCGUCAGUCAUAAUGGCACCAAAUAUCUUAACAGACGGUUUGGCAAUAACAUGACCAUCAACCAAAGUGUCUGUUGCAACAUCUGGAAGCUCCAUGAUGGGGAUACCUCCCUCCAGUUUGAUUGCUCCAUCAUCAAGCGCCUGAUUAGGUAUCCGGUCUGCCUCGUUUCCGGAGUUGGUUCCAUCGACUUCAUGAUCAUUGAAAGUGAGAAAAGAAGAAGAAGAAGAAGGAAGGGUCCUCCUGUCUUGGUUGCUGGCAGCUUCUGGCUUCUCCACUUCAACCCUAAAGUGGGAACCACCAUCUUCAUCUUCAAAAUCUUUGUACAUGGUGAUUUUAUCGCCAGUUUUGAGUUCGUUAUCAACAACAAAUUUUCUCCAUCCACGGGACAAAACAGGUUUCUUGUACCCAUUUUUGCGAACAGUGCAGUCAAUUGGCCAGAUCUCUGUCCCAUACAUUAGCUGAAUCCUGACUGCAUAGCCUGCAUUGAAGGCUGGCAAAGAAGGCAGGAUUUGUCCCGGAAUCGCCAACCGCUUGUUGAUAUCAGUAGUUUUAAGUUUUUUAGAGAACAUCUUUGUGGGCUGAGAGGCCAUGGCUUUCUAGCUGAUUAGUCAUGCCCUUCUACGCAAACCCCUUUUUCUUGCCAUUGUGCAACAAUUUAGCUUUGAAUUAGAUUCUCACAAGGAUAUCGACAUUCAUAGAGAUGUGGCGUCGUGCUUUUAGUAAUGGAAUAAUGAUAACGACUUAUUUUGAGGUUUUAAGAAUUGUUGUUAAAACAUAUAGAAAGGAGGUUGUUUUUCUUUUUGGUUUUUCAAAGUAUCUAUGCGAAUUCGGUAAUUAAUUUUUUGCAUUCUAUAUGUCAAUGGAAAAUAAUUGUGGGAAAUAAUGACGUUACAUCAUUUAUAUUCCUUUUUCAACAGUUUAAUGUCAGCAUCUUCAUCCUGAAAAAAAUCAAAUCCAAAUAAAAUAUCUUAAAAUUCAAGAUGAAAUUAUUGAUGUGGCAUUAAACUAUUGGAAAUAGAUAACAUUCAUCUGUACAAUCCUUUCUCAUAGAGCCAUUAAAGGGAGUUUUGAAACUACUAUGCUUUUUUAGGAAUAUUUACUCACAAAACUAUAGUAUAAAUAUUUUUAAAAAAAUUAUUCUAUUAUUUAAUUAUUUAUUAUUAUAAAUUGAAUUAUUAACGGAAAAAUAAGAAUCUCCCGAAAUGAAAAAAAAAAUAUAUUAAAAAAUUCCAUCUUUAUUCCUUUUUACCGUGGCUUGAUUUCAAGCAUAUAGCAUGGUUGCUGUUGUAGUAUGUUAGUCCAGGCUUGAGUUGGCAUAUGAAAACCAUGAAUUAAACAAAAUUACUGUUUACCAAUUUAGUUCAUGAAACCCAAUCUGGUGGACAAGAACGUGAAAUAUCCAAGUAAUAAAAUACUUGAAAGGGGCCCUAUGGUUGAACAGACGCUUGCCAUUGAUCUGUCCAUGAAUCCACAUAAAGUCAAGUGUUAUAAAAUCCUAAACUCUCAACCCCAAACCCUAAACUCAACCCCUAAAUUGCGAAUUCGGCUCCUGAAUCAUGAAUCCGAACUUCAAAUCAUGACCCUAAACCUUAAAUCCCAGACCCCAAACCCAGACCUUAACUCAUAAACCAUAAACCAUAAACCCCAAACACCAAACAACUUAUUAUAAAAUUUUCAGUUCAACACUCACUAUAUAUGUAAAAAAAACCCCAGGCAGGUCGAAGUCAAAAACAUUAUAGAGGGGCUGAAUAAAAACUCGCCCCUAAGUCAGUUCAGGUUCUAACUUAAUUUUGAGAUUUUUUUUAAAGAUUGGUUUUGGUAUGAAAAUACUGAAUUUAAAUGUAUAAUAUUUCCAUUUUUUAAUGGAUACAAUUUGUUUUAAUGCGUGAUCAAUAGGCAAUAAAGGUAAUGUUCUGAUUCCUUUCUUUAUCAAUAUAAAAAUGUGUGGUUUUUCUUUUUUAGAAGAACUUUAAUCUCGUCAAAAGAUGUCGACAUUCUUUGGUUUGAAUUCUUUGAAUUUGAAUAAUGGAAUUGGUCGAGCCAUUAAGAAGAAUAGAAGGUGUCUAAAAAAUAAAAGAGUCUAAGUCCAAAUUAUUACAAACCCAAAAUAAAAAUCCUAAGCCCAAUUAAUAGGCUCACAACCUAAUUUAAUUCAGAUAGCUACUGUCACCGUCGCUCCUCCCAUGUCAGCGCCGCACCAACUCCUUUGCCACCGCCACUAUCACGUCUCCCACUUGCACUUGCAAAGAUCAAAAAUAGAAGUGACAGUUUAUAAAGUAGAAAAAAAUGUGUAAAAAUAGGCUAUAAAGGCAUUUUGGACCUUUGUAAUCUGGGGGAGAUUUUCUUGAAAUACAAAAAUCGAUUCAAAUAAAACCAACAAAGUUCAAAGGUGAUUUUUAUUUUUUUUGCUUUUUUCAAAAUCUGUUAUUUAAAAAAAACAUAACAAAGGGGAUAAAAGACUCACCGUCCUCCAAAUCAACCUUGGUUCAUCAGAGUUCUCGUCGAGGAAGGUCUCGGACACCCUUCAAAACACGGAAAACCAAAGGAUUUCAUCGUCAUUUUGAACUACGGAGUGUUUUUUCGAGAUCGUUAUCCCUAGAUUCGUGUUCUACACAAAAAAAGGGGGUUUAAAAGAUUCUGGGGCAAUUUGGAUUAAUGGUGUCUUUUACUAUGAACCUUGAAAAAUUAAUUUAUGGACAUGAAAAUACUUAUAUUUUAAAAAAUGAAAUUAGAAAUUAAGGUAUUUUAAAAUGUAUCAUUUCAAAAUAAUCAUAUUUAUGUUGGAAAAAAUAGAUUUUUUUAGAAAUUUUGAGGUAUAUUCUUGAUUAGUAAAUGUAGAGAUUUAAAUCAUAAAAUUAUGGCUUUAUAUUCUACUCCAUGAGACCUUUACAACGAUACAUCAUAUGCUCAAAAUGGUUGAGUGAUGAAUGAGAAAUUGAUGCUCAAAAUAAACUACUUAUGAAUUACAUUAAAAAUAAAUAAAAAAAUUGUCUUAUAUUGAUUAGAUAUAAGUGUGGAAUAUAUUUAUAUAUAUGAACCAAGUUAGCAAUGAUUGAAUGACUAAAUUUUAUUCAAAAGCCUAAUAAAGAGGGAAUUGAAAAGGGCAAAACAAGCCCAAAUCCAGCUAAACAAAAGUGUGUCCUCUAAAAACAUCCUAGUUUUAAAUGUACCGUCUUGUCCUAAAACGGCGGGGGACAGCCGAUUAAUUGUGUAAGCUGUGGGUCCCGUGGUAGCCAUGCAAAACGUCGAGUCCUUAAAAGGUAGAAUAAUCUAUUCAUCAAGAGGCAUAUAAUAUGAUCAAACCUAACAGCAUAUAAAUUUUUUUUAAAAUUAUAAAAUUAUUAAAAUAGUAACUACAGACAAAUUUUCAUAAACCCAAUCGUAUUAUUAGUAUUAAACAUAAUGAAUUUUUUUUAAUUUUUAAUUUUAAAUUUCAAAAUAUAAAUAUAAUUAAAUAAAUUAUAAAAACUUUUUUUUAUCUUUUAAUAAUUUCAACCAAUUAAUUAUAUUUUUUAAAAUUAAAUCUAAAAAGUAUCGCGCUCUUUCUGUCUAACCCUUUUGCUUUCACUUUUGUUUGUUCUCUCUCUAUGGCAAAUUUACACUUGUAAAAGGAAAGACAGAUGGCAGGAUAUCUAUGGAGGAGCGGUGCGCUGCAAGUGGAAUGACCAAAAUGGCGGAUUCAGUCGUACAAGUUGUUUGCUUUGUUUCGAUGGGCAGAAUAUUUACUGAGAGUUGUUUAGCAAAACGAAAGCUAACCAAAAAUUGAGUGAAUAAAAAUAAAUUAUUAAAAUAGUCAUUUUUAUUAAUCUUAAAUUAUAUUUUAGUUAUUUAUGUUUAAAAUGUCACGUUUUAGUAAUUUAUAUUAUCGUCAUUGAGUCGUUAAUUAUCGUUAUCUGUGUAAUAGUAAGCUGAUGUGGCACGUUAAAUUAUUAUUUCAAACAAAAAUUUUAGAUUAAUUUAUACGAUUGAUCCCCAUAUUUUUUUAUUUUGAGUAAUUUAAUUUUUUUCUUUUAUGUUUUUUUAACUUUUUUUUCAUUCUCUUAUGAUUCUCCUUCUAUUUUUCUCCAUUCUCCAUUUCUUUUAACGUAGUUUUUCUAUAUUUUCUAUAUGUUAAAACUAGUCCUUAUACUUUUAUUUUUUUAAAACAAUUUAACUUUUUCGAGUGAGGCGAGCUUAUGGACUAAUUUUAACAAAUGAAAAACAUAAAAAAAAACUACGUCAAAAGAAAUGGAGAAGGGAGAAAAAUAGAGGGAGAAGCAUAAGAGAAUGAAAAAUAAAAAAAGAAAAGUUAAAAGAACAUAAAAGAAAAAAUUAAAUUACUCAAAAUAAAAAAAAAUAAGGACUAAUUGUAGAAUUUGACCUAAAAUUUUUAUUUGAAAUGAUGAUUUAACAUGCCACACCAGUGUACCGUUACACUGUUAAUAAUAAUUAAUGGCUCAGUGAUUAAAAUAUUACAAUAAGAUAAUGUAAGUGACUAAAACAUAACAUUUCAAACAUAAGUGACUAAAAUGUAACCUAAAACAAAUAAAAGUGACUAUUUUAAUAGUUUACCAAUAUUCAAUAUGAUGGUUAGAAAUUUAAUAUUUGUUUAAUUAAAAUAAAAUACCUUAAAAAUUAAAUUACAAGAAUUUUAUUUUUGAGUCAUCAAACUAAGAUUUUUUUAAUUAUAAAAUAUAAGAAUAAAAAUAGUUGAAAAUUAUUUUAUGUUAAUUUAAUUAAUUGAGAUUUAACAAUAAAAUUGAAUUAAUUUUACAACAUUAUUUGUCAAGGAGUGAAAUCCACGUGGACCCUACAUUGACUGAGACAUGGUAUGACAUUACUAAUGAGUCUAAUGACUGAUGAGGAAUUACAAAAUUCAUGCACCUUAAAUGUUGGUGACAAGUUCACCCUGUACCAAGUGCAAGUUGAAGAUGGUUCUUCCUACUAUAUGGUAGAAGUGGGGAGAGAAAUCCACUUCCUUGGCAUAAAUGCAAUGGCCCAUGGCAGUGGCAGUACUGCUGAUGAACAUCUUGGACUUGGUUAUGCGACAAUUCAACUUGUGUUCAUGUUUACCGUACUAAAUUGUUGUGAAUUUUAUUAUGUAUAUCUAAUGUAUCUAUCUUAUAGGGCUCAGGCUCGAGUUGCGGGUCAGUUUCGGGUCCCAGGAAGUAUCAUAAUAAAAUUAAAUUAUUUUUUGGAGCUUAAAUUUAGUGAUUUUUCUCAUAUUGAGGCAUGCAUAUUUUUUUUGUUUAAGUUAAGCCCUUAACUUGUAAUUGUUCCUACAUUGAGGCUUUAACUUUUUUUUAAUUAAAGUUAGGCUUUGAACUUGGCAAACUUUCCCACAUUGGGAUUUGAAUUUUUCUUUGUCAAAGUUAAUCCUUGAAAACCUUAAAAUUCAGGUUCCAAUAUAGGAACAAUUACCAAAUUCAGGACAUAAUUUAGACAAAACAAAAGUUCAAACCCUAAAAUGGGAACAGUUGCUAAGUUUAACGCCUAGCUUAGACAAAAAAAUGUUCAAGUCCCAAUGUGAAAAAAAAUACAAAAUUAAAACAUAAAUAUUGAUUUAACCUAUAUAUACGUGAUAUAUAUUCAUCACGUUGAAUAUUUAUGCAUGCAGUCUAGUCUCUUGCAAUUUUAGCAAUUUGAUAUAUAUUAAUACUCUCUUCUAUAUCACAUAUUUGUUUAAAAUUUUUUGAAAAUAUUUGAUAAGUGAGAAUAAAGGUUAAUUCAUCGCUGCCAUUGCCAUUCUAAUUAAUGCAAAACAUGUUAUUUAGAUUUCCCCUUCGAUGUAAAAUACACACAUCAUUGACUUUGAUGAUUACGUACAUACAUACAUACAAAAUGAUGAAGAAGAAAGAAAGAAAAGGGUGGGUUUCAAUUUUCAAGUUCAACCUCAAUCUUGAUCUUCAGGUUCCUGUUUUGAACCGCACUAAUCUGUCCCCAAAAGAAGCCUAAGCUGCUACAUGUAAGAAAAACAUAAUUAGUUUUUAUAGAAUAGCAUCAUAGACAAAACAAACCAAGCAGACAUCUUAAACAGAACACUUCUAAUAGAUAGGAUUCCCUAACCAAUAUCUCCAACUGUUUCCAAAUUUCUAAAAUAACAUAAUAAUAGAAAUAAAACCAGAAUAUAACAACCAACUGGUUAUGAACACUAACUUUGUCUUAUUGUCUCAAUUGGUUAUCCGCUCUCUCCACAUUAAUUGGGUGGCGCCAAUGUCAAAUCUAACUUCACUUCUCCCACAUAUGGCGGUGGAAUAGUACCGGGUUGUCGCCGAACCAAGUCCAAGCUAAGGUCUUGAUGAUGAUCUGUGAUAAUAUCAGGACAUGCUUCUCCAAUUCCACCAGCAGCACUAGUGCCACUGCCGUAGGUCAUCAGACUGAAAUGAUCAGCUCUUUCGUUACUCAUGUUAGUACCAAACAUCCCGAUGGAUGGCGAUUGCCAAGCAUUGGCAGGCAUGUUCAUCGGUGCAAUAUCAGGCUGGUGGUGUUUUUAGGUACUUCUCUUCUGUACUCGACAGUGGUUUCAUCGGGUUCAUGAUGAAUGAAAGAGGGAGCGGGAGAAUUAGGAAGGGUGCCGUGUUGGUUGCCGGCGGGAGGCUUCUCCACUUCAACCAUAUAGUGGGAAAAGCCAUCUUCAUCUUUGUACAUGGUGAUUCUAUCCCCAACUUUGAGUUCGUUAGCAACAACAAACAUUUUCCAUCCAACGGAGAGAACAGGUUUAAGGUACCCCUUUGUCCGAACAGUGCACUUAACUUCCCAGAUCUUUCCGUCGUACAUGAGCUUAAUUUUGGCUGGAAGGCGUCCAUAUGAAGGUAGGAAGAAAUCCUGGUACUCUUUCGGGACUACCAAUCUCUUCUUGACGUCAGUGUCAGUGAGUUCCUUAAAGAAAAUAAUUCCGGAGUGAGCUGCCAUGGUGGGUAAAGGGAGUGCCGUAUGAUACAAUGGAAGGGCCAAGGGCAAUAUUUAUAGUCUAAAGUAGGGUCCAUCGCUGCGGAAACAACAGUGACGGUUGUGGCAGUGAGUGAUUUUGAGAAGAUCAUUGGAAUGAGUCGUUUCCAUGUCUCAGUCAUUACAACAGAUUUUCUCGUUGUAUUGCAUCAGUUUCAUGAGUUUUGUGAUGUGUAGGUUUCAGACCAUAUUAAAAGCUUAUGAACUUAUUUGAUCUUGUAGGUUUAUUUAUUUAUUAUUUAUUUUUAACUUAACUCGAUUUUAUUUUAUGGGAUUAUAAGAAUAAAAAAUUUAAUUUAGGUUGAGCUUCGAUAAAAUUUAGGGAUUUUAAGAUUUUCUCGUUGUAUUUUUCAUGGUAGUCGAUAUGUACGCAUUGUUUUAAACCUAACAUUUUUUUUAUCUUAAAACAUUUAAAAAUAAAUUUAAUCUUAAAAUAUAAAUUAUUAAAUUAAGUUAUUAAUCUAAUUAAUAAUUUUAAAAUUUAUAUUUGCAUGUGUGUAUAAUAUAUAAUUUAUUAAAAAAUUAAAAAUUAAAUUACAAGGAUAUAUAAAUUAAAAAAUCAGUAAACUUAAAAUAAUACACUACUCUCUAUCAUAUGGAUAUAAUCAAAUUAAUCUCUUCAUUAUUAAAUAAAUUUAAAAAAUUUAAAUUAGUCUAAAUUGUAUGAAAAUUAACAUUUAUAUAAAUAUUAAAUUGAUAUAUUUAAUAAUAAAAAGAUUUUGUCCUUACAAUGCGGGCCCUCACAUUUUUGGAUAUAACGAUUUUGGUCAUGAUGAUGUUUUAGACUUUUAGUGACGCUAAUGUCAAUACAAUGACAUCAGAGUGACGACUCUAAUGAUAACGUCAUAUGGAAUACGACAUCAUACCACAUUAUUUAUUCCAUAAUUCGUAUCCAAUUUCAUACCAUAUUAUUUAUUCCAUAUUAAAUAUUUAUUUAUCCAAAUUAUUUCUAAACAUUUAUUUUAUUAAAAAAAAUUAUAAUUUCUGUAAUUUUAAAAAUAAUCACAUUAAGGGAGCCUGAUUUUUAAAAUAAUUAAAAUUUUUAAGAAAAUUUUCAAUCUCUCUUUAGAUUUUUAUGGCAUAUUUAGUAAAUCAACAACCAUUUAUAACCCUCGUUAGCUAGUUUAUGUAAUUUUUGUAAAUUUGAAAUUUGAUAUUUUUAUUUUUAAAAAUUUAUUCAUUCUAUUUUUCGCUUUUAAAAUUUUAGGUUCAAUUGUUAAUAUUGUUAAAUUUAUUUUAUUAAUUUAAAGUUCAUUUUUUAGUUACACGGCUAUGAAGUCAGUAUUUUUUUAUUUCAAAAUGUCUCAUCAAUAUAUUUAACAGUGUUAACAACUAAACCUGAAUUUUAAAAUUCGAAGUGUAAUAACUCAAUUCUAAAUUUGUGAAGAGUAUAAAAACUUGUGGUAUAUUUGAAAACCAAACUUUAACGUAGCCUGCAUGGGAAUUGUUGUCCAAUUAGGGCUCCCCGUUUGAUAAACUUAAAGAAAUUAUUCAAUCAUUAACGUAGCAUGCAUGUAGUGGCGAAGCCAGAAAAAUUUUGGGGGAGCGGAAUUAAAUUCUAUUUUACGGGGGUCGAGCCCCUACCUACCCCCCUUACCUCCACCAUUACAUGCAUGGCAAUAAAAUUAAAUGGUAAAAGUAUGAUAGAAACCCUUAUAUUAAGAAAAUUAAAUGGCACUUAGUUCUUUUCUCAGUUAAAAAAGAAUUAUAGUGGUACUGCUCUUUUAUUGAAAAAUUGUAUAUAUUAAUCUAUGUAUGUUAAAUCAAAGAGUAAAUUGGUUUUUCUGUUAAAAAUUUUAUCUAUUUUUACAGUUAAAAACUUAUCAUUAUAUAUCAACAUGAGGUACACCAAGCACGACAUGUGUCAUUGUUUAAUUAUUCGGUUAAUCAUGCUUGUUUUUAAUAGUAGAAAUGGAUGAAUUUUUUAACAAAAAAAAGACUAGUUUGCUCUUUGAUUUAAUAUGUAGGAACUAAUUUAUCUAUUUUUUGAGUAGAGUGAUUAAAUACAAUCAAACGUGCAGUACAAGGAUCUCCAUGAUAUUUUUACAAGAAGCAAAACUAGAUUCGACUUGAAAAAUUGAAAAAAAAAAUUGAAUUUCGAGUUAAACGAAUCAAGUUAUUCGAGUUAACUCGAUAUUUUUUUGAAUUUUGAGUUCGAAUCUAGUUUUAUUUUCAAAUUCGAAUAACUCGAAUAAUUUGAAUAAACAAAAUAUCAAACUAUAAUAUUUUACAUUUUUACCCCAAACUCUCAAACCUCUUUACUUUCUCCAAAACAUUUUCUCUCUCCUAUUUUCUCCAAAAACUUUUACUCGUCCCAUCCCAUCCCCUUUCUACUCCCCCAUCCCCCAAAUUUUACUCCCCUUUUUACUUUCUCUCCAAAAUUUUACCCAUUCAACUCUUAAAACUUUUUAUUUUUCUCUAAACUUUUACUUCUCACCCUUUACCCUCAAAUCAAAAAUUAAAAUUAUCUAAAAAAAUUCCUUGAUUUUUUUCAACUCCAUAUUAUAUUUUUGAACUCAAUUAACUCAAAAAAUUUUUCAUUCGAUUUGAUCGAAUGUUCACUCCUAUAAUAUUAUAAUAUAAAGAGUUGAAAGAUUGAAGAUGAAACAAUAAAUAUAGAAGAAACCCAUACUUAACUCCUGAACAUUAAAACAAAAGAAAUUAGUCAUUAUCUUCUUCUUCCCCUUAUUUAUUUAUUUUAAAUUUAAUAUUAAUUCUAAGCUUAACCCCACCACCAAGAAAAGUAGCUCCUUCCAUUGAAUCAAAUUUGUAGUACCCAACAAGCAAAAUAUUCUUAAUAAAACAUCAGAUUUAAGUUUUGAUGUUUUGAGCAAAAGUUUUAAAUUGAUAUGAAAAAUUAUUAAAAUGUCAUUAAAUAACUUAAGAAUUAAAUAAAAAUAAAAUUUUAAUAUUAAAAUACUUUUUACCAAUUGAAUUCAUGAAAAUCGUGCUUGAAAAUUGGGUACGCAAUCUCGUGAAAUAUUUAAGUACGUUAUUACUUGAAAGGGACAACACUAUGAUUGAACAAAAAAUGAAGGGACCCUUUGCCAUUAAUUGGUCGAUGAAUCCACCUAAAGAGUCGAGAAUUCCGAGAAUGGCUGAACAUGUCAUCAAUUUGAUUGGAGAUGGUGGGAAAAUGUUACAUGUAGAGAAAUAAUUGUCUUCUCUGCUGUUUUGGGACUAUGACAAUUGACAACAAGAAAUUAUUGGACAAGAAGCUUGUUUAAACCAUUUGGGGGACCAGAAUUUGUAAUUUUGAUACUUAUUGAAUAAAGAAAGUUAAUUUUUUAUGCUAAAAAUGAAAAGCAAUAACUUGCUUUUAGGUGUCAACACCCGAAGAAAAUGAGAAUUUAUUUUGGCAUCACAAUCUCAUACUGAUCAAAGGCAUAACAGAAUAGGUCCCAUGAUGUACAUCCUUCACGCGUUUAUAAUAACCUACCACAUCACGCUAGCUGAUAAGAGAAUUUCUUUUAUAAAUACUCUUCCAACGAUGAAGAAGAGAUCAACAUUUUAAGCCUUUAAAGUUAUUAUGAGCAAUUACCCUCUUUGCUAGCAAUCAACUUAUCCUCUUAUUUUUUUCGACUCUCCUCCUUUUUAGGUGAAUUGACUACCACAACAACCCUUAUUGUACAAGGUACCAAUAAUUUAUAUGUGCUUCUAAUUUUAGUCCUUCAACUUUCUUAUAAGUCCCCAUCCAAGAUCUUACAUAUCCAAUUUGAACUAAAAAAAUAACAUAAUAAAACCAAUAUCAAUUCGUUAAAAUGACAUAAUAAUACACUUCUAAUAGAUUAGAUUCAGCUAAGAUUAAUUGGUUUAAUAUUCCCUAACCAAUGUUAAUUCGAGUGGAUACGUGUUCAAUAUUUUCGAAGAACAUUAAAUAGAAUUAUUAAUAUUAGUAGAGAAGGUAAUUAGAUAUUGUAGGGAAAAUAACUUUUGAAUUAAGAAAAUUAAUCUAAGAAUUUGACUAAAUUAUAAAAAAGUGAGAAGUGUUGGACCACAAUGUGAAAAUUUGAAAUAAGAAAUAACUAGAUUAAAUGAAUGAGAAAAAGAGCAAAGAAUAAUUUAACCAUGGGAGUAAAAAAUGAAUGGUUGAGGAUGGAUAGCAUUGAAGCCGUAUGUAUGGCAUGAUAAUGUAAGUUUUUUUAAAUAAUAAUAAAAGAAAAUUGUGAUAAAUAUUUUUGUGUGAAAAAGAUGUAGACAAGAUAUAAAAAAAAAAUUUAACACUUUUUUCACUCUCAUCGUCUUCAUAAGCUUUUUCUCCAUGUCUCACUCUCUCAAAGUAGCUAAGUUUUUUCUUUCUUUUCUUUUAUUUUAGUCCCUUCCUCUAUUUUCAACCUAUUUCAAGUUUUAAAGCCCCAUUUUCACCAUGGAUUUUAGUGAAUCUACACUAAAAAUUUCAUGGCAUUUUAGGUGAAACUAGUAAGAGUACAUCUUAAAAGUGAAAAAAGGUUGAGGAUCUGAGUAAGUAAGGUAAGAAAAACGAAAUUUCAUACAUUUUAUUUAAUAUACAUGAAUUUUCAUGGCAUUAUCAGUUUUUGGUGAAACUAGUAAGAGUACAUCUUCGAAGUGAAAAAAAGUUAAAGGAUAUGAGUAAGUAAGGUAAGAAAGACGAUAUUUUUCUUAAGAAAUUUCAUACAUUUCUUUUAAUAUAAUGGAUUUUCAUGGCAUUAUUAGUUUUUGGUGAAACUAGUAAGAGUACAUCUUAGAAAUGUAAAAAAGUUAGAGAUUUGAGUAAGGUAAGAAAGACGAGAUUUUUCUUAAGAAAUUUCAUAUAUGUAUAUGUAUUAUUUUAAUGAAGAGAAAGAGACGAAGAGUGAAGUUCAGAUGGGGGAUAAAGAUAAAGGAGUAGUGAAAGAGUAAAGAAGGAAGAGAAGAGUUACUCAGGCAUUUUGCUGUAAGUAUAUCAACAAUUUUACUUAUUUAAUUAAACCCUAAAUAAAAAACUUGAUAAAUUAGUUUAGUAUUAUACAUGAGAUAUAUUUACGAUUUAAUUUAUGGAAUUAUUUGAAUACAAAAUUUCAUUUUUGUUAUUACUUUUUACAUAUUAAACUCUAAAUGAAAAUCUCAAUAAAUUAAUUUAGUAUUAAGCAUGGUUGUUAUUGUAUUAUGAAAACCACGAAUUAAAUAAAAACAAAAACUUAAUAUUAAAAUGCUUUUUUGUUUUAUUAUUAUUAUUAUUAUUAUUAUUAUUAUUAUUUUCUUUUUCUGAGAUGAUUGGUUGGUAUGUUUUUAAGUUGAUAUAGAAGGGAAAGGGUAAGUCUUACAUUUUUUUGUCUUUCUCAGGCUAAUAAAAGUCAUUAGUCAACGGUACUGCCUUUAUCUUUAAGCUCAGCCUUCUUCUUCAUCUCUUACAUCUCAUACAUAAUCAGAUCCAACUCCAAUACCCAGUUCUUCCCCUGGUGAAGCUUCAACCUUUUCAACAAGGCAGCUAAGUAUCUCUAUCUGCUAUAUAUAAAUGUUUCAUCUUUAAUCCUCGAGCCCCUUUACUUUAUUUUUUUUUUUAGAAUUUUGGUGUUUUCAUGGAGAAAUACAUAGGUAAUCAAAUUUUAUAGUUGCUUGCUUCAAACUAAGUUUUAAAAAAAAACUAUAUAUAUAUAUUUAAUUGUUGAAACCAAGAAUAAAGCAGCUAUGAAAACAUUUCUAACUUCAUUGAAAACUUGAGAGUUACAAUAGAGUAUUUAAUACAAACAGAUAAUAACUAACUAUUAACUAUUUGUGUUUAACUGCUAACUAACUCUUUUAACUAACUUUAUCGAUAAAGCUACUGAUGAAAUACUCAUAACAUGCCUCGUGCUAGUUAACGUUUUUUUCCUCCUAUAACUUCAUGCUUGUAAGGAACAAUUCCUAGUUGACUUCUAUUAGAAAAUAAAGUAAGUCAGUUUCUAUUAGUAGUUAGUUUCUGUUAUGUUUAGUUAGAAGAACAGUUAAGUAACGGUUCUUGGAUUGUAUUAAAUACGUGUUUUCCUGAUUUCUAAACAAUAUACAGAAUUCUUUUCUUCAUUGCUACUGUGAAAUCCUAGCAUGGUAUCAAGAGCCAAGGUUCUCUUUGUGUAUUCAUAAAUUUUUCUAGUUUUCUCUUCCUCUUAUGGCCACCAAUGUAGUUCCAGAUGGUGUCCCUGCUGUUGAUAUGCCGCGUCACUCCUCCAAUACUAGGGAGGCUGAUCAUUCGUAAGGCAUUGGUAUUGUAUGUGCAUCGACAGUUCAAUAUUUCUCUAAACAUGACACCAUAAAACUUGCAUCGCAUAAUUUUCUUCGUUGGAAGCAUCAAAUCUUGUUGAUUCUUGAGGGCUAUGGCCUUGAAGGUUUUGUGUUAGACACUACUCCAUCCCCUCCUCCUGUUGUUCUUGGUUCAGAGGGCUAUCAAGUUGACAAUCCAGCAUUUCUUGUGCAUCGUAAGCAAGAUAAGUUUCUUGCGUCCUAGCUAUUGUCGACUGUUACAGAUGAGUUGUUAGUUCAUCUCACAAAUUCCAAAACCAGUUUUGAUAUAUGGAAUGUUAUUGAAAGGCGGUUUAGUGCUAAAUCUAAUCUCAAGAUCUCCAGCAUGUGACAUGCGUUGUAUUCCGUCAAGAAAUCAACUUUAUCUAUUAAAGACUAUGUGUCAAAGGUCAGACAGUUAAGUCAUAACUUGACUGCUGCUGGCAAUUUCAUCUCAGAGCAAGAACAAGUGAGCGUAAUUUUGGCCGGUCUUUCAGUUGAAUUUGAGUCUAUUCAAAUUUUUGCUUCCGCUACUCCUUUGUCCCUUGACCUUUUAACAGAAAUACUGCUUGACUGUGAAUCCUGACAGUUAGAAUUGGUAAUAGAAGGUUCGUGUCAAGCCAAUCUUGCAACUCGACAACAAGGCACGGAGGAUCCUUUGAAACAGUCUAGUGAUUCUUUUCAGCGACCUAAAACGGAUUAUAAAGGAUCGGGUAGAGGUUGGUCUCGUGGUCGGUCGCGUGGAAAUGGAAGGGGCUGGUCUCGUUCCAGGCCGCAGUGUCAGCUAUGCGACAAAGUGGGGCACAUGGUUCAAACAUGUUAUCACAGGUUUGAUGAAAGUUUUUCUGGUGUUGCAGGGUCAAAUUCCGCUCAAGUUAACUGUCAUCAAUUGCAUGGUUCUGAGUGUUCUUCACAUGUUCAUUCUUGCCAAACGGGGGUUCAUUGCUGUGGCUCGUAUGGUCAUUUGCCUCCUACAGCUACAUCUCCUCACAAUCUAACUUAAUUUGGUACCCUGACUCAGAUGCAACGAAUCACAUUACACCUAAGGUAUCCAAUCUCACAACAGCUUCUCCGUAUACGGGUAACAACCAUGUCACUAUGGGCAAUGGUGAGUCCGUUUCUAUUACCAGUAUAGGCUCCUCUUCUCUUUUAGCUGGGACUAGACUACUGAAGCAACAGAAUGUUUUGCAUGUUCCUGCAAUGUGCAAGAACUUGAUGUCUGUGGCAUAGUUUGCCAAAUACAACGGUGUUUAUUUUGAGUUUCACCCGAUUUUGUGUUUUGUGAAAGACAUUUAGACAAGGGUGACGUUGCUCGAGGGCCACAUAUAUGAAGGGUUAUACCGCUUUCAUCUCACCAAGUCGACACCUACUGUUGCCUCGAAGCCCAAUUCCAGUUUGUUGAAUAGUGCUGAACUUACUUUAUUUUCCUUAUGGCAUAAUAGACUCGGUCAUCCGUGUAAUACUAUUAUUGCUCAUGUCUUGAAGUCGUGUAAUAUUUCCUUCAAACAAUAUCAUUUACAACAGAUAUGUACAACUUGUGAGCUUGGGAAAGCUCAUAAACUUUUCUUUCCAGCUUCAAAAACAAUAUAUAUUUCUCCUUUUACACUUGUAGUGUCUGAUGUGUGGGGCUCUGCUAGUGUGUCUUCAAAUGGCUUUCGGUACUAUGUUUCUUUUGUUGAUACAUAUAGCAAGUAUACUUGGAUUUAUUUUCUUAAAACCAAGUCUGAAGUGGCUCAAAGCUUCCUGAAUUUCCACCGCAUGGUUACUGUUCAGUUUGGCUGCACCAUUAAGAGUCUUCAAAGCGAUGAUGGAGGAGAAUAUCGUGACUUGACUGGUACUUUAUCGAAGCUUGGUGUGCAAUAUAGGACAACUUGUCCUUAUACCUCAGAGCAGAAUGGUAUCACUGAGAGAAAACAUCGGCAAAUCGUUGAUAUGGGACUGUCCCUUUUAGCACAAUCACAUAUGCCAUUAACGUUUUGGUUUUAUGCAUUUGUACAUGCUAUUUAUUUGACUAAUCGGCUGCCUACACCUGUCUUGAAUCAGUUAAGUCCUUAUGAAAUGCUUUACAAAGUUAAGCCUGAGUAUGGCUCACUGCGGGUUUUUGGGUGUGCCUGUUUUCCUGAUCUCAGGCAUUUUCAAAAGCACAAGUUCCAAUUCCGGUCUCAACGCUGUGUGUUCUUAGAUAGUGUUCCUACUACUAAAGGGUAUUAUUUUCUUGCAGAAGAUAGUCGAGUUUUUUUGUCUCGACAUGUUAGGUUUGAUGAGACUAUGUUUCCUUUCAAUGAGGGGUUUCAAAAGGAAUCGUCUUCCAGAUGUGUGCCGAGGUGUUCGUCUCAUUCUGUUCUUCCUUUGGUUCUGGCAGCUAAUUUACCUAAUGUUUCUCAGAAUUUGCCUACUACAGCACCACCAAGAUCCAGUACAGAUAUGCAUUUUGAUGAGGGGCCUUCUUCUGAACAAUUACAACCCAUCCCUGUAUCUUCUCCUACUGGAGUUUCUGAUGUCGUGGUGGAACCUUCGAGUAAUGGUCAAUAUAAUGGGCCUGUACCAGCUCAAAUUCCUUCCGUGCCUGGAAACCAUCAUUCUAUGCAAACUCAUUCAAAGAAUGGGAUUUUCAGACCCAAGGUUUUUGCUUCUGUUAUGGAUGAGACUGAACCCACCAGCAUUCGUGAAGCAUUUCAAAGUCCUGUAUGGACAAAAGUAGCUACUGACGAGUAUGAAGCCAUGAUUGCCAAUCGUACGUGGGAUCUUGUUACCUUACCAAAGGGUCACCGUGCUAUUGGUUGAAAGUGGAUCUUCAAAAUUAAAAGACAUGUGGAUGGGUCUAUCGCCAGGUACAAGGGCAGGUUAGUUGUCAAAGGUUAUCUACAGGAAGCAGGAGUGGAUUUCCAAGAAACUUUCAGCCCUAUGGUUAAGCCAACCACAUUAAGGUUGUUCUUGCUUUGGCAGUAUCCCUUAACUGGUCUCUUCGACAGAUUGAUAUUAAUAAUACGUUUUUAAAUACAGAUCUAAGUGAGGAUAUAUACAUGUUUCAACCUCCAGGUUUUGAGCAAAGUGGAUUAAAUGGUGAAUCACUCGUCUGUAAAUUGAAGAAAGCGUUAUAUGGCCUCUAACAAGCAACCCGUGCAUGGUUUCAGAAGUUGAGAGAUGUUCUGGUGGCUACGGGGUUUAUGGUCUCAAAGACAGAUAACUCACUUUUCAUUUUACGAUCGGGUGCUCGGGUGUUGUACGUACUUGUUUACGUUGAUGACAUUAUCAUAACUGGUAGUGAUUCUCAGGCCAUUGACAGUUUUGUCACUCAACUUAAUGAUCGGUUCUCCUUAAAAGACCAAAGUAAGUUAAACUACUUCCUUGGUAUUGAGGUAGAGUACACGUCUGAAGGGAUGGUUUUGUGUCAAACUAAAUAUGUUCGAGACUUACUUCGCAAAGCCUCGAUGGAUCGAUCGAAUAGUCUUCCAACUCCAAUGGUCACCAGUUGUCAUUUGUCUGCUAGUGAAGGCAAUCCAGUCGAGGAUCAACAUUACUACUGAAGCAUUGUUGGUGCACUACAAUAUGUAGUAAUCACUAGACCUGACAUAGCUUAUUCGGUGAACAAAGUCUGUCAGUUCAUGCACAAUCCCCUGGAUGUACACUCUGCAUCUUUCUCGGAGGUAAUCCAAUUUCUUAGAGCUCUAAGAAACAGUCAGUGGUUUCCCGAUCCACGGUCGAGGCGGAGUAUCGAAGUGUUGUGCAUACAGCCGCGGAGAUGAUUUGGAUCCAGUCUUUAUUAACUGAAUUAUGUGUUCCUGUUUCACCAAAGUCCUUGAUCUGGUGUGACAGUUCUGCUGCGGUUGCGGUAGCUGUGAAUCCUGUUAUGCACUCCAAGUUCAAACAUGUAGAGUUGGAUGUUUUCUUCGUUAAAGAAAAGGUGGCAGCUGGUAUACUUCAGGUUGGCCAUGUUUCAGGGUCCUAUCAACUUGCAGAUAUCUUGACAAAGCCACUUUCAGCACCAAUUUUCAAUAAGUUUCGAAGUCAGCUUCGAGUAGUUAGUCUGAGUUAAAAGAAGUUUGAAAAGUAGUAGAGAAGUAUGAGAAAUAUUAGAAAAUAAAGUAAGUCAGUUUCUGUUAGUAGUUAGUUUCUGUUAUGUUUAGUUAGAAGAACAGUUAAGUAACGGUUCUUGGAUUGUAUUAAAUUCGUGUUUUCCUGAUUUCUAAACAAUAUACAGAAUUCUUUUCUUCAUUGCUAUUGUGUAAUCUUAGCAACUUCUAAACUUGUUGAACAACCCUGUUGAUAAUGGUUUCACCAAGAUGUCAACAAUCUGAUCUUGACUUGGCACAUGACCCACUUGAAAGGCUCCUCCUGCAACCUUCUCUCAUAAAGAACAAAUCUAAUUCAAUAUGUUUGAAUUUGGAGUGCAUGACAGGAUUCUCUGCUAUUGCAACAGUAGCUAAACUAUCACACCACACUAAUGUCUUGUUCUUAACUAGAACACAUAGCCCGGUUAACAAGGAUUGAAUCCAGACCAUUUCUGCAAUAACAUGCGCAAGACUUUUAUAUUCUGCUUCAGCUGUGGACCUGGAGACUACUUGCUAUUUUCUAGAACUCCAAGAGACUGGAUUCCCUCCAAGAAACACACAAUAGCUUGAUGUCAACCUUCAAUCAUCAAUAUCUGACCCCCAACUGGCAUCAGAGUAGCCUUCGAGCAAAAAUUUUAAAGUUCGACUGAACCUUAGCCCAUGAUCCAAAGUCCCUUGCAGACAACGCAAGAUUCUUUUGACAGCUUUAAAAUGUAAAUCCAAUAGUUUGUGCAUGAACUGGCGGACUUUUUUAACAGAGAAGGCAAUGUCUGGUCUGGUAAUCACAGCAUAUUGUAGAGUACCAGCUAUGCUCGUGUAAAAAUGUUUAUCUUCAACAGGACUGCCUACAUGAGCUGAUAAAUGACAAGUAGUUACCAUUGGUGUAGAAGAACCAUUUGACCUGUCCAUUGAGGCCCUUCUAAGUAGAUCAAAUAUGUACUUCUUUUGGCUAAGAAAAAUACCAUCUUGAGUGCAGUUGACUUCAAUGCCCAGAAAGUAACUUAGCUUUCCUAAGUCUUUAAAAGAGAACUGUACAUCGAGUUCCUUAACAAAGUGAUCUAUAGCUCAAGAGUCAAUCCCAGUGACAAUAAUGUCAUCCACAUAUACUAGAACAUAUAGCAACUGAAACCCUGAUCGAUGAAUAAAAAAAGAGUUGUCAACUUUGAUACUUCAAAUUUAGUAGCUAAGAGAAACUCUUUCAACUUGUGAAACCAAGCCCGAGGUGCUUGCUUAAGGUUAUACAAAGCCUUUAUAAACUUGCAUACCAAUUGUUGGCCAUUGUUCCCUUGCUGUUCAAAACCUGGUGGUUGCACCAUAUAAAUUUCCUUAUGCAAAUCACCAUUCAAGAAGGCAUUAUUAAUGUCCACUUGCCUGAGAGACCAACCCAAGGACAUAGCCAAUGCCAGAACCACUCUAAUUGUUAUUGGUUUGACCACGGGACUAAAUGUCUCCUGAAAGUUAAUGCUUGCCUCUUGAAGGUAACCCUUAACCACCAAUCUGCCUUUAUAUUUAGCCAUAGAGCUAUUAGCAUUUAUUUUUAUUUUAAAAAUUCAUUUGCACCCUACGGCCCUACGACUUGCAGGUAAGGGCAUAAGAUCCCAAGUGUGAUUAGAAAGUAAUACAUUAUACUCUAUUUAUACAGCUGUUGUCCAAGCAGGACUCUGAAAUGCUUUUGUAAUGAAAGUAGGCUCAUUCUCAGUUAGAACAGAGGAAAACACCUUAGGUUUGUAAAUACCACUCUUGGAUUAGGUUUGCAUAGGGUGGGAAUUUACAAAGGUAGUGAACCUUUUAGGAUUAUCAGAUUGAUUACAGGAGGUAGGCAUACAAGCUAAAGCUAAGGAUUCUACUUGUUGACUUACAGAAGAAGAGCCAUCAAUAGGAGAGUUUAUGUUAGAAGAAGCUGGACAAGAACCUGCCAUAGGAGGAAAUCUGGUUGGCCCUGAUGAAGGGGUAGAGGGAUGAGCUGGAGGGGCAAUAGCUGCAACCAUAGAAAUGUGAGACCGUUGAUGGACAGACCUGAUGGAGUCCAAGGUAGACUGUGAAGAAAAACUAUGCUGAAACGAAAACUGGGAUUCAUCAAAGAUAACAUGUAGAGAUAUAAAAAUUUGACCAUCUUCAUCAAGACACUUAUAGCCUUUUUGAUUGGUUCUAAUCCCAAGAAAGACAUAUCAUUUUGAUUAAAAUUGAAGUUUUUGUUGGUGAAAGGGCCUCAAAUAAAGGAAACAAGUACAACCAAACACAUUUAGUUGGGAAUAGGCAGGUUUAACUUUGUAAAGUUUCUUAUAAGGACUACUCUUUUGUAGAACGGGAGUAGGUAACCUAUUAAUCAAGUGAACAGCAUGAGCAAACGUAGAUGACCAAAAUUUCAAAGGUAUAAAUGCCUAAGCCAAGAGAGUCAAUCCCAUGUCAACUAUAUGUCUAUGCUUUCUUUCAGCUACACCGUUCUGUUCUGAGAUAUAAGGACACGUGACCCUAUGCUGGAUGCCAAGCCUAGAAAGCUCAUUGAACAUAGAUCAAUACUCUCCCCCCAGUCACUCUAAAGUAUUUUUAUGGAACAACUGAAUUGAACUUGUACCAUUCACUGGAAAUAAAAAAACACUUAAAAACUUCAGACUUGGUCUUAAGAAAGUACAGCUAGGUAUACUUGCUGUGCAUAUUAACAAAAGAAACAUAAUAGGAGAAACGAUUUGAUUGUACAUGUGUUGGUCCCCAAACAUCAGACACAACGAAUUCAAAAGGCAAAGAAUACACUGUUUGUGAAUAACUGAAAGGCAACUUAUGAGCUUUGCCUAAUUGACAAGCUGAACAUAUAUGAGGCAAACAAUUGUGUUUGAAAGAAACAUUACAAGCUUUUAAAACAUGAACAAUAGUGCUAUUACAAAGAUGGCCAAGCCUGUUAUGCAAUAACACUAGAGAAGGGGAAAGUUGAUCAUUUCAUAUAAGUGUUGAGCUUGACUGUUGAGCAGCAAUAGAUUUGUUGGAAUCAACCCGAGAAACAUCAAACUUGUAGAGUCUAUUAUGCAUGUGGCUCACUAGAAGAGUUUUCCUUGUCUGAAUAUCUUUCACAAAACAUAGAUAUGGGUGAAACUCAAAAUAAACUGCAUUAUCCUUUGCAAACUGACCUACAGACAACAAAUUCUUACACACAGUAGGAACAUGCAGAACAUUCUUGAGGCACAAAAUCCUAGGACCAACCAAUAAAGUAGAAGAGUUUAUGUGAGCUAUAGAAACAGAUUCACCAUUUCCCAUAAACACCUAACUUGUACUUGUAUAGGGAGAAGUAGACGUGAGGCUAGCCAUGUCAGGAGUAAUGUAGUUUGUGGCCCCAGAGUCAGGAUACCAGGUCUGAUCAUGUGGUGCAGAAGAAAAGGCUCGAUGAGGUGGCUGAUGGGAUGAAGAAGGAGGCUAUGAAAGUGAAUUACAACAGUGGGACAUAGAAGAGCAAUGAAGUGCAGGAGAGGAGUAAACUUGCCUAUUGAGUUGAUGAUAGUUGACUGUCAUCGAAUGACUAAGACCAACACCAGAAAAAUUUUCAUCAAUUUUGUAAUAACAAGUUUGAACCACAUGGCCAAUUUUUCCAUAUAAUCAGCACUGUAGUCUAGAGCGUGACCAACUCCGACCAUUACUACGAGCCCUGCCAUGAAACCAACCUUGACCUUGCCCUCUGUGUCUUUGCUUAAACUCCUGAGAAUAGCUGUUGGAGUCUGCAAUAUGUUUCGAGCUGUCAACAGUAUCAUGUUUUUGGUACGAUAUGCCAAAUUGACUUGUAAAGGAACCUCAGUCAGCAAACCAUCUGUCGUGCUUCACAACAAUAAGCAUUUCAGUCAACAAGUUAAGAGACAUAAGAGUAGCAGAGGCGAUCACACGAAUGGACUUUUUACUUUGGACAAGUACUUCUUGAUUGUAAGAUUUACUUUCUUGAGCGAGUAUAGAGCAUGGCGCAUACUCGAGAUCUUGAUAUUGGAUUUAACACCAAAUCUUCUUUCAAUGGUCGUCUAGAUUUCAAAACUAGUCUUGGCUAUUGUGAGAUGGACCAAGAUAUCAUCUGUGAUCGUAGACAGUAGCCAAGAGGCUAAAAACUUGUCUUGCUUCUUAUGAACAAGAAAUGCAGGGUUAUUAACUAACUGACCCUUGUUCCCGGUGAUAACAGGAGAAAGGACAGGAAUGGUGCCUAACACAAAUCCCUCAAGAUCGUAUCCUUCAAGAAUUAAUAAGAGUUGAUGUUUCCUUAAGAGAAAGUUGUGCUCACCAAGUUUGAUGGUGUCAUGCUUGGAGAAAUAAUGGACUGUCUGUAAAGCAACACUGCCUUGACCCUGCGAAUGAACUGCUUCCCCAGUGUUGGAAGAGUGCCGAGGCGUAUUAAUCCCAGGAACAGUUUUAGUGGCCAUGAGAAUGAAAACAAGAGAAUAGAAAAAAAAUCUCAAUUAUACCAAGAAAACCUUAGCUCUUGAUACGAUGUUGAAAUCAAGAAUAAAGCGGCUAUGAAAACAUUUCUAGCUUCAUUGAAAACUUGAGAGUUACAAUAGAGUAUUUAAUACAAGCAGAUAAUAACUAACUAUUAACUAACUGUGCUUAACUACUAACUAACUCUUUUAACUAACUUUAUCACUAAAGCUACUGAUGAAAUACUCAUAACAUUAAUGUGUAUCGUUGUUGCUUCUUGAUGCUUAUGUUCAGAUACAAAAUGGGGUUUUGUGGGUUUUUUUUUAAACAAUAGGGUUAAAUUUAUUAAGAGGGAUGUUCUUCUGCAUGGUUGAAGAUUCUAUUCAAUGAUGACGACUUGGGUGUUAUUUUCUCUUUAGUUUCAUUCCUUUUUGUUUCAGGCAAGUGGUUUUUAGGGUUUGCAGUGGUGUUUUCGAUUGAAUAAUUAAUGCAGAUGUUUUCUAUUGGUGGUUGCAUUAAUUAUUAAACUAUUUUACAAGGUUUUUUUAUAUAAUAAUCCUUUUGGCUUUUGAUUUUUGUUAUGAGAAUAGGUUUUUCUUUGGUAAAUCAAGCAACCUUAAAACUUGAUUAAUGAUGUAUUUUUCUCCAUGGAAACACCAAAAUUCUAAAAAAAAAAAAAAAGUGUAAAGGGCUGAAGGAUUAAAGAUGAAACAAUUAUAUAUAACAGAGAUACUUAGGUGCCUUGUUGGAAAGGUUGAAGCUUCACCGGCCGACGAACUAGGUAUUGGAGUUGGAUCUGAUUAUGUAAGAGAUGAAGAAGAAGGCUUAGCUUAAAGAUAAAGCCAGUACCUGGACUAAAGACUUUUAGCCUGAGAAAGACUAGAAAAUCUAAGACUUACCCUUUCCCUUCUAUACCUGUCAAUCAUCUCAGAAAAAAGAAAAAAAAAUUUAAGACAAGAAUGUUCUGAAUAUAUUAUUAAGUGAAUAUCCAUUAUGAUUAAGAGACUCUCAUAAAACAUUAUAAUUAUCUCUUUUGAUCAAUAGAUUACAUUCUCUAUUACUUUAUUCUCUUCAUCUCUUUUUCUCUUUUAUAACAAAGAGAAUAUUAUUCUGCAACUAAAACAAAACAAAAGCAAAACCUACCGUAGCAGAUCCAAACGACACUCAUCCUGAUUCCGUCCACGAACUCAAAGUCUGACCAUGGAUUCUAUCAUGGUGUUUCACUCCACAUUGGGUGGGGCCAAAGUCAAGGCUAACUCAGCACCAUAUGGAGUAGUGGGUUGUCGCAGAAGUCCUUGAUGACCCAUUGCAUUUGCACCGCCGUCGGGGAUGCAAAUGAAGUGGAUUUCUCUCUCCACAUUGGGUGGAGCCAAAGUCAAGGCUAACUCAGCACCAUAUGGAGUAGUGGGUUGUCGCAGAAGUCCUUGAUGACCCACUUCAACCCUAUAGUAGUAAGGGCGACCUUGGUCUUUCACUCUGUAUAAAGUGAAUCUAUCCCCAACCUGUAAUUUGUUAGCAGUAGCAAAACGUAACCAUGGUUUACCAGAGAGUACGGGUUUCUUGUAGGACCCCAUCCUGCGGGUUGUGCAGUCAAUUGUCCAGCGACUUGUGCCGGAUACAACCGGAAAUGUGACUUUAUGACCUCCAUUAAUGAAAGGCGGGAAAAGAUGCAGGAUGCUGGACGGGACUGCUAAGCUCUUUUUGACGUCAGUAACUGUGAGUAUCUUUGUGAAAACAAAUUCAGGCUUGGCUGCCAUGACUGAUGCUGUUUAAGCAAGGUGAUGAUUCAAUGCAAGAAGCUAAAGGGAGAUGAUUGAAGAUCCAAUGCUGUUCAACCCAUACUUAUAUUAGUCUAGAAAGUAUUGAAUGAUAAACUACAAAACUAAUCACUUUUGUUUACCUCAAGUUAUAUUUUAGUCACUUAUGUUUGAAAUGUUACGUUUUAGUCACUUACGUUAUUGUUUUAUUACGAAGUGACCACUCUACCAUUAAACUCUAUUAUCUCCCUAAUGACAGACCAACGUGGCAGUCUAAAUGGGUUUUAAAUGCCAAUUUGGAUGUCUAGUUGUUGGGAUGAAAAUAAGUUUUUAAUUAAAUAAAUUUAAUUUGGACUGCCACGUAAGACAUCUAAGUUGGCAUUUAAAACUCAUUUGGACUGCCACGUAGGAUCACCAUUAGGGAGGUAACAAAGCUUAACGGUAAAGUGACCACUUCGUAACAAAACGAUAACAUAAGUGACUAAAAUGUAAUAUUUUAAACAUAAAUAAUUAAAAUAUAAUAUUAGACAAAUAAAAGUGACUAUUUUUAUAGUUUAUUGGAACGUAAAAGUUAACUUUGGAACGUAAAAGGUGAAUCAUUCAAUGAAUCAAUGACAGCAGGUUGAAAUCCCAAAGCACGUGACAUGCAGCUGGAGUAAGGAUUUCAGAAGCAACUAUAGUUGUUAUUAUCUUCAAUAUGUCCGGUAUAAUUUUUAAUUUAUUUAAUAUUAUAAUCUAGAUAUCUUAUUUACUUUCUUUUUUUUUUUAACUUGAAUCGCCAAUUAAAACCUUAUUAACCCUUCUCUACCCAAUAUUAUAUAUAUAUGCACUCGUUGAUCAAGAGAAAAUAAGGUGUGAAUCGUCCGUCACAUUGUCCACCACACAAAUAGGCUGGACAUUGUUCUUGGAACUCGUUGGUAAAAGACGACGAAGGAAAUGUAAGAGUUUAUUCUUGAGACCGUUAUACCAUUGAUAUAGAUUCAGCUGAAUUAGGGUAAAAAUUACAGCGUUAGAUAUAAUAAUUGAUAUAGGAUAGAGGGGAACUGGUUUGAUUAUUAUUGAGAUCGGAUCACUGGUAGCGUAUAAUUGGUUAUUGAACAAAGACAGGAGACCUUGGUCAUAAAAAACUACAUUCGCAGGUAUGGAAAGGAGACUAACCUGUGUGGGUGAGGUAGUAUUUUCAAAAGCAGAGCAGCAUGGCAAUGAAAUGACAGAAACAUUAGCAACAGCAGGUAUUAAUCGUAGGGCUAUAUUCAAGGCGUAGUGGUGAAUGUUAGAUUGGUGAUUGGAAUGCUUGAUUUUCAUGUUAUAUUAACUUUUGUGUCAAUUAUAUUGUUUAACUGGAACUACUAUUCUGUUGCUUUUAAAUAGCGAAGCAAAAAAAAAAAAAAAGAGUUGGACUUUGUACUCGCCAUUCUUGGCUGGUAAUCUUUUUGUUAUUCCUUUUAGACAUUAAAUUAGUAUGGUUUUUUACUUUGUGUUGCAUUGAAUUUUUUUAAUUAAAUUAAAGAGUAAAUUUGAAAAUUAAAAUAUAUUUCAAACUCUUUAUAAAUUUAUUUUUAAGAACUUGGCCUUUCUUACUUUCUUUUUUUUUUAAAUUUAAAUAUUUAAGAUCAAUUGUUAAUAUUAUUAAUUUUUUUGAUUAAAUUUACUAGAGUGUCAUUUUAAAAUUUUUAUAAAAAAAAAUACUUACAUGGUAACCAAGUAACAAAAAAUAUAUAUUACAAUGAACUGAGUUUAAUAGAUAAUUUUAAUGGUGUUAACAACACUUAAAAAUUGUAUCAUCAUUUUAAUCAAAAUAAAGCAUUUUGGGCUAAUCAAUUAUAUUGUAAAAGUUGAGGCACUAAAUUAUGUUGAUAAGCACAUAAUUUCUCAACUUAUAUGUGAUAUUUCUCCUCUUGAUUUAUGCCAUUUAUGUUAUUAAAUAUAUUAUUUAUACUUAUAUUUUAUUUAUUAUUGAUUUAUGGAAUAAAUGGAGAAAAAAAAUUAAAAGUUCAGUUUUUGCAAAUGGGACUUUCAACAAAAAAAUUUUUUAGUAUUUUAGCCAUAAUUUGAGCUACAAAACUCUAUUUUGAACUCAUAAUAUAUCUAUUAAAAGGGAAUUAAAACAUCUCACUAAAAAUUUUUUCAGGACUCAAGUCUAAACAACUGUAAGAAUGUAACACCCCCAACCCGUAUCCGUUGCCGGAACCGGGUUACGAAGCAUUACCGGACAUAUCGGAUAACUCAUCACUAAUUCACAAAUAAAUAACAUACAUAGCAUACUUUAAUCAAUACAUUACCUAGAUACAUGCCACAAUAUCAAAAGAAAUGCACAUCACUAAAAUUUAUAUGAGGUCGGGAUUGCUCUGGAUGCUGGACCAGACACUGACUUUUUACUAACCUGCGCACGGAAACAAUUCGUACUCAGUGGUAUUACCAUAAUUCAAAUUAUAAUAGAAAUAAAGAAUUAUAAUUACCAAGCAUGUAACUAUCCAAUUUCUUAAAUAUCAAUUAAUUCAUAAAUUUUCAUUACUUGACAAUAACAAUACAACAUUAAGCUAUUCUUCAAUCUCAAUCACAUAUCACAAUUUUAAAUUUUCUCAUAUUCAAUACGGCAAUCAAUCAAAUUCAUUUGAUUUUCUCAUUUCAAUUAUUCACCCUAUUAACAAUCUGGACUUUGACGGAUACACGGAUUCCAACCCAAACACACCAGUACGGCACAUUGUGCCUAAAACGAUACAUAGUACCUAAUCAGUAAACGACACAUAAGCGCCUGAAAUAUGACACAUAAAGUGCCUGAUCGGCAAAGCCGAUAAAUCCCCUACUCUUCCAAAUCCUAUGGCAUGGCAACUAUAUCUGACUUAGCCCGACUAGUUAAUAAGGUAUUCAAAUUCUCAAUUCACUUUCAUUUCCAAUUCAAGAUCACUUUUCCACUUUCUAAUCAAUUAACAAUUUAAUAUCAAUACAUAUUUCAAAUAAUCACAUAUAAUCAUAUUUCGAUUCAAUUCAAACCAAUGCACAAUUCACAUAUUCACACAUAUUCAUAAAUUAAUUCACUUUAUUUAAUUCAUAUUUUAAAUUCAUUUUCCAACCAAAUUCAAAUCACUAAUUACUUUUCCGUCAAUAUUCAUUUCAACUACUCACAUACUUCCGUCAUUUAAUUCAAUUUGAUUCAAUUCAAAUCACUAUUAUCAUUUCAAUUGCUUACCUAAUUUUACUUACCAUGCAUUUGAAUUUAAAAUAUAAUAAUUAAUAAUAAAUAGAUUUGAAUUAUAGUAAUACAAACCGAAAUUCUCUUCGAAUUUAAUCCUCGACGAUCUUUUCUUUUCCUUUUUGGGCCAAUACUUCAGGCUCGAUAUUAGCUACGAACAAUUAAGAUAAUUUCACAAUCAUUAGCACAAAACAAUUUAAUUGCCGAAAUUUUUAUCUAUCUUUUACUUUAAUUCUAAUUUAAUCCUAACUAACCUAUAUAUUUUUCUUUCUCAAUUCAUACCUUUUUACUACUCAAUUUCCUACCAAACUCACAUUUAACUAUAUAUUUUGAUAAUUUUGAAUUUAUUUCAAUUUAAUCCCUAAAAUUCAAAACUUAUAUUUUAGUUUACAAUUCAAUUCUUUAUUCAAUUCCAAAUAGAAUUUCUAUCAAACAAAUCCCUAAUUUAACAAUUUAUUCAACAUGAACCAUGCUAAAAAAAACUAUAACUUCCAAAACCUCAACUUAUUUUCAACAAAAUUUUGUUUUAAAACUUCUAAAACAUUUAAAUUAAAAGAAAAGGACUUGAUUAAACUUACCUUUAAAGCUUUAAAACCUUAAAACCUCAAUUUUCCCUUUUCUUUCUUUCUUUUCUUCUCUGUUUCGUUUUUCUCCCUUUGUCUUUUUGUUUUUGUUUCUUUCUUCUUCUUUUUUAUUUGCUUUUUCUAAUAAUAUAAUAUAAUAAUAUAAUAGUUUUACUUAAAUACUAAGUAAAUAUGUAAUAAUUACUAAUAUAUGUACUUCAUUUUUCCACAUGUCAUCAUAUGCACCAUACAUUUGUCAACAAUUUUGUUUAUUUAAAAUAUAAUAACAAUAUAAUUAAUAUAAUUUACAAUAAAAUAAUAGCAUACUUUUAAAAAAAAUAUAAGAUUUUUAUCAUGCAUGUGCCGACUCAAAUUUAGAAAAAGGCAUAAUUUCCUAUUUGGUCCUUUUAACUUUUCUUUAAUCUAUAAUUAAACUUUUAUCUCGAUUGCAAUUUAAUCUUUUCUCAUAAUUAACCUCAAUUUAGAUAAAUUCACUUAAUUAAAACCUAAUUAACUACACAACUAACUUUGUAAAUAUUUAUAAAAAUAUUUACGGUUCAAUUUAUAAUAUUCAGGUCUCGAUACCUCGUUUUUUUGACCCAAUUUACCUAAUAAUUUCUUUUAAAUCAUAAAAUUCACUAAUUCAAAAAUAUUUCUAAAAUUACGCUUAACUUAUAAUUAUUAAUUAAUAAUUUUUUUUCUAACUUUUUUAUCGAGUUUAAUGAUCUCAAAUUACUAUUCUGACACUACUGAAAAUUGAGCUGUUACAAAGAAUGCAUCCAAAAUUAAUAUAAAAGUUUGACGCGGACAUUAUCAAAAAAAAUCUAGAAAAAUUAUAAUUUAUGUAAUGACAAAAAGAAAAUGUUUAAUAAAAGAAGAAAGCAAGUAAAACUACUCUGGUGACAAUGAAACUAGGAAAAGUUUUUUUUUAUAUUAUAUAAAUAAUAGUAGAAAUAAUUGUAAAGCAAUAAGAAAGAAAAAUAAGAAUCUACAGAUUUUAUGUGAAAAACUCUUAUUGAGAAAAAUGACGAGCAGAGGAAUGUUGAAACACACAUUAUACAAGAGAAGUUCGACUGGAGAGUUAAAUAAGCCUGUUAUAAUCAAUAUCUACUGAGUCUAACUCCCUCCAUAUUGAGUUGUCCAAGAGACAACUCCAAGCUAACUCCUUGAUGAUGAUGAGUAAUAACAUGUUCAUCAGCGGUACUGCCACUGCCAUAGGCCAUUGGAUUAAUUUAUGCUAAGAAGUCGAUUUCUCUCCCCAGUUUAACCGCAGGGUAGGAAGAACCAUCUUCAACUUGCACUUGGUACAUGGUGAAUCUAUCACCAACAUUUAAGUUGUUUAAAAAAAAAAAAUUUCUCUCCAUCCUCUAGCUGAGAAAACGGGUCUGGCUUUUUACUGAAUUGAAGGUUUGAAUUUAAAAAUAAGUGCAAGGGUAGGUGUUCACGUGUCAGCACCCCAUGCGAUUAUAAUACGCGUAUUUGUUUGUUAGGUUUCGCAGCUGUCUCUUGGACAUAAGCUUAAUUUUGUUUUUCUUUGGUUUGAUAGAAAAAGUUAAAUAUGACUUUGAUUGAAUUGAUAAUUUAUUUGUUGACUUUGAUUGUCUGGUUUUAAAAAUAAUCAUAAAAUUUUAUAGAAAAUUAUUUAAAAUUUAUUAAAAUUAAAUGGGAAAUUAUUUUCCUGAAAUUAUUAAAAAUUAUUUUAAAAAAAUAACAUUUAAAAUGAACUUGGACAAAUUAAUUGUCUAAAUUCAAAUGAGCCCAGACACCUAGUUAUCUAGGUUUAUUCUAAAAUUAUUUUUAAAUAAUUAUACAAAAUAUCUAAAAAUUAUUAAAAAUUAUAAUAAAUUAAUAUAAAAAGACCCAUCAACUUAUUAACCAAAUUACUAAAAAUUAUAAUUUGGUAAAAAAAAUAUAUGUGUUGAAACCAUUUUUGAAAAAUAAAAAUUUUAGGUUGUCGACUUUAAAAAAACAAAACAAAUGGGAGUCGCCACCAAUCUUUUAUUGUGGUGUGAUUGGAUCACCUAAAAUGAUUUUGGUCUACGAAUUUUAGAAAAAACAAGACCGGGAGUCAAUUACGUACGAGGAAGGAUUAGCACCAUCGUAACGCCCAAAAUCAGUACCUAAUUAAUUAAUUAGUGUCUUAAGGUCGAAAAUAUAAUCUUUAAAAACUUAAAACGUUACGUAUUAAGACCCUUCUCAAUUCAGAGAAGCAAAAAUGCCACAACCAAUGCGUUAGGGCACAACAUUCUAAUUUCCUCCAAAAUGAAUUAGGUCAGAAUACUCGCAUAAUAAAAAAAUUAAAAGAAUAUCCAUUUAUCCAAGAUUUAAGAAAUCGCGGCCCAAUACGUUAGGGCACAAUUCCUUUAAAAUCCCAAACUCGGAAUAUUUCCUUUAUUGUUUUUAGAAAAAAUCUUCAUUUUGAGAUAUUAAUGCGUCACAUCCAAUACGUUAGGACACAAUGUGUUGAAUUCCCAAUAAUGAGCUCUUAUUUUUUGAUUAAAGAGAAAUACUCAAUUGUUAGAUUUAACGGAAAAAAUCGGAACCCAAUGCGUUAGGGCUCAAUUUCCUUGAAAAUCCUAAAUACGAACAUUAUCUCAAUUUUAAAAAAUUUUAUAUUUUUAAAUUUGAGUAAAAAAAAUGAUGUAACGUUAUAUUAUAUGUACAAAUGUUAUGAUGAUAAAUACAACAAUAUAAAUAUAUCAAUGACAUAAAAAAAAUAAUAUAAACAAAUGAAUGGACGAAAUAAAAACAAUAAUCCAUGACAUGCAAAAUAUUAGAUGUAAACACAAUUAUACGAUGAAUGAGGAAAAACAAACAAAAUAAAUAAAGAUCAGAAGACAUAUAAUAUACACAUGGAAGUUAUGAAAAUUAAAAAUAUAAAUAUAAUUUACAAAUAAAAUUUUGGGAUAUAGAAUUUAUACAUAUAUAUAAUACAUAAUAUACUUAUGAAAAUAAAGAAAAAUAUAAUUAUACGUACAUAUAUAAAAUAAUAAAAAAGGCGUGUAUUUUAAAAGGAAAAGUGAGUAUUUAAUCAUUUUAAAAAUCAUAAAUAUAUACAUAUAAAGAUGAAAAUAUUCAUUUAAAAAUAUAUAGGAAAAAUAUUCGUUAAAAAUAAAUAUAUACACAUACAUAUAAAAGGAAUAUAUAUAGAUAAAAAACAAUUAAAUAAUGAAUACAUUAAAAUAUAUAUAUACGUACAUAUAUAUGUAUAAAUGUGAGAAAAAUAUAAGUUAAAAAAAUAAGUGCAUAAAAAUAUACAUGUAUAGAUUUUAAAAAAAUAAAAAUAAUGAUUACGUUAUUAAUUAAUAAAAUAAAUGAAAAGAACAAAAAAGAAGAACUAAAUUGAAUUGCAAAUAAAAAAACUGGGAUAAAUCCGUAAAUAAAUAAAAGUAAAAGGAUUAAUUUGAACGCGCGAAUUACAUAGAGGGGCUGGAAGGGAAAUUUUCCCUUCUCCUCUAAAACGACGCUGUUCAACUUAGAUCCAAUUGAAAUAAAAAUAAAUAAAAGGGUAAAUUAAGGGGGAAAAACUUAAUAAUAAAAGGGUAAAUAAAAGGCUUCGAUUAAAAGGUGGGCAGAGGAUGUUUGACAGAUCUCCAAUCUCUUCUUGACGUCGGUGCAGGUUUAACCUUUCUAAAAAAAAAAAAAAAUUCAUUAAUAAUAAAAUUAUAUUUUAUUAAACCUAAUAAAAUUAAAGAUAAUACUAUUAUGGACUUUAACUUAAGUUUCCAAUUCACAUUAAAAAUCUAUAAGUUAUUAGUGCUUGAAUUUAACAAUUAUUUUUUACAUUAAAAUCUAAAUUUUAGAGUUUUUAUGGGUUAGUUUAUAGAAAUAACACAUAUAUAUUUUAAGGAUAUUUUUAUAAGAAAAACCCUAAACAUAGGAAGAAUUAUCAAGUUAAAGACUUAAUUUGAAUAAAAAAUUAAACCCAAUAGAAAAUAAUUAUCUAGUUUAAAUUGAAGAAAAAAUAAAACCCAAUAAAUUUUUAUUUUUCAAUAAUUGAACUCAAAAUAAUAAUAAUAAAUCAAUCUACGAGAGUUGAAAAUGACAUAACAUUCAUAAAGUGGUAGUUUACAGAUGCAUAAGCCAUACACAUGAUCGUGUCAACGACUCACCCAAAUACGCGUGUCUACUUGACCAUAUAUGGUAUUAAUACUUCUGAGAAGACCACAUGCAAGAAUAUCAGGCGAAUUGAGUUUUAAAGUAAAACAUAAUUUAAUAAAAAAUAUUAACAAAUUUAACCUUCGAAAUUUACAUAUUUUAUCAAUUUAAUUUUAAUAUAAUAAAUUUAUUAACAAUAUUUAUACGAAUUGGUUGAAUUUUUUAAAUUUUUAGAAUUAAGAGUAAAAUGAUAAAAUAUAUAAACAUUGAAUGCUAAAUUCGUAUAAAUUGUUAUUGAUCUCAUCUGAUUUCAUUUCAUUUCUAGUCUACUUUAAAAAACAUUUAUCAUAUAUCAUUUUAAUCUAAUGUCUUUAAUAGUCAUUUUCCAUUUUCACCUUACUAACUUACUGUUACAGCUGCUUUUGAAUCCAAACACAUACUCUACCAUUAUUUCUAAUCCCACUGUUAUAAUAGCUAAUCUCACGAUCACCACUAUUUUUAACCUCACUUGAGCUAAGUGCACCGCCUAUCCAAACUAAACCUUAGUAAAAGAGUACCUUUGAUUAUAUCUGUUCUUUCUUAAACAGAAAUGCUUAAAUUUAUCCAUAGUCCCUCCCAACCCAUAAAUAGAAGGAUAAUGAGUUUUAGCGCACUCGAACUUACGUCCUUUUGCAUUGACAAUAAUGCCACUGCCACUUAAGUUAAGACUCAAUCGACAAAGUUAAAUUAAAAAAAGAGUACUUUCAAAAUCUCCAUUUUAGAUAUAAUGCUAAAAAUUUUAAAAACUAAAUUAAUUUAUAUGAUAUUUGAAUAAUUAUAUAUUAAAUAUAUUAAAUAAUUAAUAUAAAUUAUUUAUAAAAUUAACAAUACAUUAAAUAUUUUAAAAUUUUAAAAAUAAUGAUAAAUGAUAUUUGAAUAAUUUAAUAUAAUAAUAUUUGUAAUUGAUAUUUAAAUAAUUUGAUAUAAAUAUAAUUAAUAUAAAAUUUUAAAAAAUUUUAAAUAAUUAAUAUAAAUAAAAAUAUGGUACUGUACAUACUUUUGACAAGGAGAAAACAGAACAUGUGAGAUUGUCAGCCGAAUUUACACAUAAAAACACUCGACGGUUUGCCUGCCUAUGGUCCUCCCCGCUAUUAAGGCUUCCUUGGAUUCCAAUUUUGCCAUGGUGUGAGAUGAAAUAUUAGGGAAUAAUGCUUUUUCAUUGCACUGGUUUUUUUUGUUUGGAUGCCAUAUAAUGAGGUGCGUUUCAGUAUUCUAAUCUCAGGGGAAGCUCUUAUUUUCCACUGAAGAAUAAUGGUUCGGUGAAAUAAAAGUUGAUCGUUAUAGUUGCGUUUAAAUUUAAACACACACUCUACCGCGCUGCCUAUCCAAACUAAGUGUAAGCAUAAGAAUAUAUUUGAUCAUAAAAAUAUACAUGUAUAGAUUUUAAAAAAAUAAAAAUAAUGAUUCGGUUAUUAAUUAAUAAAAUAAAUGAAAAGAACAAAAAAGAAGAACUAAAUUGAAUUGCAAAUAAAAAACUGGGAUAAAUCCGUAAAUAAAUAAAAGUAAAAGGAUUAAUUUGAAAGCGCGAAUUACAUAGAGGGGUUGGAAGGGAAAUUUUCCCUUCUCCUCUAAAACGACGCCGUUCAACUUAGACCCAAUUGAAAUAAAAAUAAAUAAAAGGGUAAAUUAAGGGGGAAAAAACUUAAUUAUAAAAACAUUAAAAGGAUGAGGGGCUGAAAAUGCAAUUUGCCCAUCCAAAUAAAACGCGCGGAUCCCACCCCCUUUCAAACGGUGCCGUUUUGAUUGGCCUAUUUAAGCCAAAUUUCAAUAAAAAAAUUUCAUUUCUUCAUUCUUCAAAAAAAAAAAACUUAAAAGAAUUCUCUCCAAUUCUCUCAUUUUAUUGAUUCUCUCCUCUCCUCUACAAUGAAGGGAGAGGUCUCUAUUUAUAGCUGAGUCUCCCCAAAUCCAACGGUACAGAUCAAUUACAUCAACGGCUAAGAUUAAAGGGUAUCUAAAAAUUAAAUCUCUAAGAUUAUAAAAUCAUAUCUUCUAAGAUUGUAUAUAUCAUAUCUAAGAUUGUAUAUCCUCGAAAAUUAUGUUUCCAAAUAAUAUUAGAACCAACUUGCUUUAAAUAAUUAACUUUACUUUCCCAUCCAGCAUAUUACAAAUGAACUUGAAAAUGAAGGUAUCGUGAUAAUUUACAAAUCCAUGCAUGUGAAUAUAUAAUAAGUGACAAAAAGAGAACAGGCGAUAUAAUAUUGUCGGGCCAAUAAUGGUCCACUGGCGUCCGCGAAAUAAAAGUUAUCGCUAUAGUAGGUUUAAAUUUAAACAUACAUUCUACCGUGUCACCCAUCCAAAUUAAGUUUUGAAAUUUUUUAUAUUUUUUUUAAAUUUUCAGAAUCCAACCAAAUUGAAAAAAAUGUAUAAUCGAUGAGGAUUAAAUAUAUUAAUUUUUAAAAAAUAGAAUUAAAUUAAUAAAUUAUAUAAAUUAAUUACAAUCAUUUUCCAGUCGGUGAUCAAAUCAUGGGGAACUCUACUCGUCACACCCCCGUUAUAAUUGUCUUCUUAACUUACCAUUCCUAACCAAUUGAAUACACUGAGUGUGAGUCAUACUAAACAACCUAACCUUUUGUUCAAUUGUUUCAACCAACCAACCUCAUAUAAUUCUUACAUCAUCGAUUAUGUCACAUACCACAAGGUAAUACAUACAUUCGAUUAUAUCAUGAUAUUUCACUAAUUUUAAAACUUAUAUUUUAUUAAAUAUUUUAAUGCAGUCUGUUUAAUAAAUACUUAACCAAAUUAUAAAAAAGAUUGCGUUUAUAAUUUAUUUCUUAACUUGAAAAUAAACUAAUUUUUUUUAUCAUAAGUAUAUGCGAGUGCAAACUACAGAUUUAAAACAUAAAUGUGUGGUUAAAAAUAACAUAUACUAAUUGAUGAAACGUAAGGUUUGAAAUUAAUGAUAACAAUAUAUAUACAAUAUGUACGGAAUUAAAAUAAUAAAAAAAGUUGAACUUGUGAGUAAAAGAAAAUUGAAAUAGGUAAAUAUAUCAUGUCGAAACCGUUUUUUUGAAAACAAAAAUUUAGUUGUCGACUUUAAGAAUAAAACUGGAGUCGCCACCGAUCCUUUAUUAGGGUGUGAUCGGCUCACCUUAAAAAUUAUUUUGGCCUACGAAUUUUGAGAAAAUGAGUUCGGGAGUCAGUUACGCACGAGGAAGGGUUAGCACCCUCGUAAUGCUCAAAAUCGGUACCAAAUUGAUUAUUUGAUGUCUUAGUGUCGAAGGUUUAAAAAAGAUUUUAAAAUCAACUCAAACGAUGGAAUUUGAAAAUGGAUAAUCAAUUGCUCAAGUCAUGUAAAGAAAUCGAGUCCCAAUACGUUAGGGUACAAUUCUUCAUAAUCCCCGAACUUUGAAUAUCACUUUUAUUUUAUGUGAAAAUCUUCAUUUUGAGAAAGUAACAUGCCACACCCAAUGCGUUAGGACACAACAAGUUAAGUUCCCAAAAAUGAUUUUUAUACUCAUGCAUUUUGAAUAAAGAAUAUUCUUGGUUAUUUAAGAUUAACAAAGAAAAUCGGAACCCAAUACGUUAAGGCUCAAUUUCCUCGAAAAUUCCAAACUUCGAAUAUUAUUUUUAUUCAAAAUAAACCCUGAAUCAAGAAAAAAUGAUUUUGAUAUAUCGAAAAAACCAAGAUUUAUUUUCCAAAGGGUAUGUUAAAAAUUAAUGCACAAUAUGAAACAAAUAUUUUAAUUUAAAAUAUAUAUGUACACGUAUUUACAAAAUAUGUAAACACAAGCACAAUAUACAAGUAAAUUUGAAAAUAUGUGUAUGCAUAUAUUUAACACACAUAUACAAGUAUACGUAUGUAAAAAAACAUGUACAACAGAACUUAUAAUAAUCUCCAAAAAUAUGUAUGUAGAUUUCAAAGAAAAUACAUAUAUGUACAAAAAUAAGGAAAAUACAUAUGUAUUGCAAAAUAUAAGUGUACAUACAUAUAUACUUAUUUAUAAGAACUACGAAAACAAAGAAGGAAAUAUAUAUAUAUAUAAACUAUGCGUGUAUUAAAAUAUGUAUAUAUAUAUGUACACAAAAUUAUGAAAAUAAGAUAAAAAAUAAAAGUAUGUAUAUAUGUAUAUAUUUACAAAAUAAAAAAUGUAUAAAUAUAUAUAUGAAAUAUAAAGUAUAUGGAAGUUUAAAAAUAAAAACUAUAUAUAUAAAAAGAAAUUAAAAAACGUAUGAAUAAAAUAUAUGCAUGUAUUUAUAAAAGCUUAAACUGUAUAUAUAUAUUAAAUAUAUAUAAAAUAUAUAUUAUAUAUAUUAUAUAUAAAAUAUGCGUAUGUAUAUGUAUAGAAAAUAUAAUAAUAAUGAUAGUAAAUAAUAUAACAAUAAUAAUACAAUGCCAAAGAACUACAAAAAAUCGAUUAAGGAUCUAAUUGAAAAGUAAACAGAGUUUAAGGGUCGCAUUUAAAGAUAGAAAACACAAGGAAGGACCAAAUCAAAACGCACGCAACAGGAGGGGGAUCCAAAGGGAAAUUAACCCAAACUCCGCAAGCACUGCGUUUUUAAAGGACUAAAAUAUAACAAAAAUAAAGCAUGCGGCCCAAAUUUAAAUGAAACAAAGAAAUUGAUUUAGAUACGUUUUUAAAAAUCUAGGGACCAAACGCACAAAUAGACCACUAAAAGAAAAAGACGCGGAUCCUGAGAAAACGGGUCGGGUCGUCGGGUUUCUGCCUAUACGACGUCGUUUUGAGGCCAUUGAAGCAAGCCCUAAACGACGUCGUUUCAUAACCCUUAUAAAUGCCAAAUUUUCCUUAAAAAAAUUCAUUUUCCUCUUUGAUUCAAAAAAAAUAACAGAGAAGCUCUGCUAGGGUUCCUCUUUUAUGCCGCCGCCGCCAAUCGAGGCAUACCACGGCCUCCGUCGACACCCCGGUCUCCGAUCGCGAGGGAGAGGGGCGCCAACUCAGCGAUUCCGACGAAAAAAGGUAUGUUCGUCCCUUUUCUUUAUAUUUUAAACAAAAAUAAAUAAAAAUAAAAAGAAACUAUAUAAAAAAAAUAAGAUAUAUGUAUAUAUGAAAAAAAAUAAAAGAAUGAUAAUCCCCACCCAGUUUUACACUGAAAAUAUUGGCCUUUUAUAGCCGAAAAUAAUAACGAAAAAUAUAAAAAAAAUACAAAUCCCCUAUUUUUCGUUAUUUUGCUGUUGUCGUUGGUUGUUUGUUGCUGCAGGUACGGCCAGUCAACGUCGAGGCAAACGUGCGCGAAGUGCGCGGGGCUACUGUUGGGAUGUGCGGCGACUGCGGGCAAAUGCUGUUAGGGUUUCUGAAAUUUUAAUGUUUGGGCUAGGUUAAUUUAGGUUUUGGGCUGUUAAUUGGGCCUGUUUAUUGGUUUGGGCCCGGGCAUAUUUGGGCUUGUACAUAUCAUAUUAAAAAUAUUAAUUGCAUUAUAAUUUUUUAUCAUGUUAUUGUCAUUUUUCUAUAACACGUUAAAAAGAGAUCAAGUCAGUAAAAAGAAAACUCAAUAUUAAAAUUAUAUUUAAAAAAAAUUAAAUAUAAAGUUGACUUAUAAAAUGAACGCAAUCAAUGAAAUUAUCUCUAUACACAUAUUUGGUAAGAACAAACAUUAUAUAUACAUUUUUUAAGUUUACCGAAGAAAAAAUAAAUUUGAACCUUUGUCUUUGUCUAAAAAUAGUAACUUCAUGUGUUGUAAAGAAGAAUUGCACGUGUGCAUAAAAAUUAUAUUCGCGAUGUAAAAAAAAGUGCACGUGCUUAUGAAAAAUUAAACAAAUAGCGCCGUCUGUGGGAAUCGAACCCGCGACCACGUGGUUAAAAGCCACGCGCUCUACCGGCUGAGCUAAGACGGCUACUGCAGUGGUCUCCUUAAAUUUGAUAAUAAUUUCAAAACAAUUGUUGAAUAGUUCUCAUACCGUAAUUACAGACUUGCAGUCUCGUCUCCGGUAGAUAUGUCGCAUAUUUGUUUAAAUUUUUUUUGAAAAUUGGUAAGUGAGAAUAAAGGUUAAUCAUUCAUCGCUGUCACUGCCAUUCUAAUUAAUGCAAAAUAUGUUAUUGAUAUUUCCCUUUCGAUGUAAAAUACACACAACAUUGACUUUGAUGACUACAUACAAAAUGAUGAAGAAGAAGAAUGAAAAAAAAGGGGUGAGUUUCACUUUUCAAGUUAACCUCACUCUUGAUCUUCAAGUUCCUGUUUUGAACCACUGAUCUGUCUCCAAAAGAAGCCUAAGCUGCUACCCAUUAUAUUCAUAAUCACUGCCGACAUGGCAGGCGGUAACGCUACAACUGGAGAAGUGAAAUGAGUUGUUGCCAACACCACUCCUAAUGAAGAAUUUUGCAUGCCAACCUGAGUGGGAGAUUUCAUCAAACACAUGUCAUGCAAUAUACGAAAAGUUCAUAACGGAUUUGGUAUAAAGCUCGGAGAUGCAUACCUCGAUUGAUAUUGCUCGCCGCUCUGCUUCUCGGAAUCUACAAAUGGUUGCUGAUAUGUACCUGCAAAUGGUGAAGUCGAGUCGUUCCUUAGUUUCGUUGGAAGUUUGUACCGAGUGUAAUAAAAACGAGGAGCAAGUUAGUGAUUCUCACCCUACAAAGAAACCAGUAAAAUGUAGCAACAUCACGGAAAGUAUUACGGCACCGACGCCUCCAGAUAAUAAUGAUUGGAGGCGUGAGACUAAAGAGGCAUCGGAAACCAAUGAUGCAUUACCUAUUGAGGAAUUAAAACGGACGACAUUUCCCGAGAAAACACUGGCAAGGAAUCCCAGAAACCGAAAGUCAGAGGGAAUCAAUGGAAGGUAAAAACUAAAACCAGUGAGUAUCCAAUAGAUAAAUUUCGAUGACCGAAUAACCUGCAUGCAAGUAGCGAUGAAAGUAAAACGGCAAAUAAAGGAGCAAAUGGUGUAAUCAUUUUCACCACCAAAGGAAAUGUGCUUUGUAGGUAAGAACCGAGCAAAACCGGAGCCACUACCACCUGGAACAAAACAUAAUCAAAUGAUAAAACAUAUGGCAAUGGCAUACAUCUUGACAUGUUGAAGAUCGCAUGAGGCAGAGCCACAUCGACAUAGACAAAACAUGAUCGAAUGAUAAACAUAUGGCAAUGGCAUACGUCUCCAAGUCGAAGAUCGCAUGAGGCAAAGCAUAGAAUUGGCGAAACCUGCAGGGUGCUGAUGGAAAGUCCAAUAGCAUCAAUAGAAACAUAUGUUCCUGCUAGAACCAUAGUCAAAAGAGGUGUAAGGAUCACUGCACCAAGAGUAGUGCAAACCGUCAUCACCGUCGACAACGAAACGUCUCCUCGUGCAAUAAAGGUCACCUGAAACAUUUUUUCAGCAAAUAAAAAUAAGGGUAACUUUGAAUAAACGAAUCAAAUGGGUAAAAAUACCAUUGAAGCCCGAAUACUCGAAGUUAGAUUGUAUUUUACCCAUCUACUCAUAAAAUGGGAAAAAUAAUCCUCGAAGAGCAAAUUGGUCCUUAAUCCUUAUGUUAAAAUUUCAUCCAUUUGUAACUGAGAUUACUUUGCAAUUUUUUGAGUAGAGAGACAAAAUACAAUCUGACUUAGGGUCUCCAUGGUACUUUUACCGAAUCAAUGUCUAUACCAACAAGAAAAAGCAUCCUCAAAAUGCAAAGUUUAUGCAGAAAAAAGGACUUGAAAUGCGAAAGGAAACCCUUACCACAGUGGAUGCAGCACCACCAGGACAACAACCUAGCAAAAUCAAACCAACAGAAAGAGAUGGUGAAAGCCCCAAAGUUUUGCUAAUAAUCAUAGCAAAAGUUGGCAUAAUUGUGUACUGAGCAACACAUCCAAAUAGAAUCUGAUCAAAGUAGGUGAAAAAAGAACUGUUCAUAGGCAAAAACUCAAGCAAAAUCACUUUAUAGGCAAGCCCAAAUUCAAGCAAAAUCAACUCAAAUUGAAAUUUGAAGAGUAACCCAUUUCUGAAAAAUUCAAAUUACAAGUGGGAAAAAAAAAACUCACAGAAAGAGGUCUUUGGGUGAACAAAUUGAGCAAGUCCUUGAGUUCUAAAGUGAGACCCAUAGCCAACAUAAUCAACCCAAGCGAGAAGCUAUAUGAAGAAGGUCCUCUCUCCACGAACCAAGCAAAAGCAGAUGGUUUAAAACAAGCCACAACGCCACCAACAGUCACAUACAAAGGGUACAAGCUAGCAGCAGUGGAUAACAUGUUCUCCCAUCUGGGUUUUGCUUGAGUGACCGAUAAGUGUUCAGAAUUAUGACUGAGAGAACUGACUAUAGGGCGGUAACUGGGUUUUGAUGGUGAAGAAACUAUGGGUUUUAAUGUGUGGGGUUUGAAGGUGAAUCUGAGAUGGGUUCGUUGUGGUGGUGAAAGGAAGAGUCUGUGAGUUAAAGUGAAGGACAUGGUGAAGAAGCUGUGUCAAAUUUCUUUGCUUUCAC
Molecule: long non-coding RNA, 58597 nt
Filed under: Gossypium barbadense (sea-island cotton)
Lineage: Eukaryota; Viridiplantae; Streptophyta; Magnoliopsida; Malvales; Malvaceae
Description: long non-coding RNA (GBAR_LNC015866)
Rfam family: MIR7502 microRNA precursor family (bases 27764-27908)
Source: RNAcentral